CGAACGAUGCCGUUGAGAGUUGCGACCAAGCCUGCUCUAGCUUCUGCAGCGUGCAUGUUGGCAGCGCCACCGUGGUUGCUUAAGCAAAUGCAUCCAACUAGAUCGUCCUUGUGCUGAAUAAUUGGAUAUCGUAUCCACUUAAAGCUGCCUUGUGUAGUACGUCUUUGUGUCUCUCUUUAUAUUCCAAUAAGGUCGGUGAUCUUGAUGCCACACACUCAGAUGUGUGUUCAUCUCCAGAUACUACUCCAUGCUACCUGCCCUUUGUGUUUUGUUCAAUAACUGGGUAUCAUAUCCCAGCCAGUAUGCCGUCUGUUUUGUGUUUGUUUCCUUCUAGUUCCAAAGGGGUCAUCAUGAUGUUACCUUCUUUCAAUAUGGUGCUUUGCAUGACUACUGUUGUAUGGUACCAUCUUGUGGCCAAUAAGUACAUCUUAUCCUAUGACCUUUGCUAUGACCCUUUGCAAAUAAGUAGAAGAUUGUUAUAAGCGUCAAUACUCCGUAUAAAUUGAUCGCUGCUGUGAGUUCCCUUUCAGCUUAUCGUAGGCAUACAUUAUUGCUAGCACGGUAAAGCCAACCAACACGAAUGAUGAAGUAAACGUAGCGGUACUUCUGUAUACCAACACCCUUACUUAAAUGUACCGGUGUCAUUCCCUACUGGCACAUAUAUUCUUAUAUGCUAGCCAGCUUGUAAAAUUAACCAAUUAAAAUAAUUAUUUCAAGAUAGAAAUAACUUAUCGGUUUCUGGAAGCAUGUGUAAUGUGAAUUCAAGGACUCGACGGAAGUUGAAUCACUUCAUCUAUAUUGCUUUCAGUAUUUUGGGUAACUAAAUUUAACAUUUGCACAUACAAAUGUUAAAGUACAAAUGUUAAAUCUAGUUACCCAAGCAGAAUAUGAAGAUAGUUUAUAGUAUAUAUAUACUAUAUAAAUCUAGUUAACAUUUAGUCUAAAUGUUAAAUCUAGUUACCUAAAAUCCUGAAAGCAAAAUGUAUAAAUAUAUAUCUUUUAAGGCAGUAUAAGCUUCGAUUCCUAUUGCUGCUCUGUUAAAUCUCAUCUUUCGUUGUGGCCCAACACUCUAGUAUGCAUGUUGCACCAAGCUUCUUUGAGCCGCUCUGCCCUCUGAUUUUGCUGCGUAGGGGAAUCUUUAUCAGGUUGGGCUACUUCCAGUUGUGCGAUGUAAAGAUUCGUAUUUUCUAGAAGGUAGACAAAAAACUCGCGUUCUCUUAAGGCAACAACCGGAAGAUUCUGCAGCGCACAGGGCAUACCAUUAUUGUAGAAACGACCUUUAGUACCGAUCUCCAACCCCCUUUAAAACUGGUUUUGCAACCGGUACCGUUAUGUCGGUCCUUUAGUACCAGAUCAAAUAAGUACCGGUUGGUAACCAGUAUCAACUUGUUUUGCGGCCAAAAAAAUAAAGAAAAAAACAGUCAGAAGGCUCGCGCACACGCGCAUCACAUGAAAUAUGCGUGUGCGGGGUCCAUGGGAUUCGAACCCAUGAAAUCAAGCUGCGCGCGACCCUUCGUUACCAUCUCACCUACAUAGCGCAUAUGCUUUCCUGAAGUAACCCGUGGAGGAGGCUUUAGUACCGGGUCAUAACACCACCCGGUACUAAAAAUGACUCUUCAGUACCGGGUCAUAACACCACCCGAUACUAGUAUCGGAUGGUGUAAUGACCCGAUACUAAAAGGCCUCUAGGGACCCUCAAAUUUGAACCCGGUACUAAUGCUAAUAUUAGUAGCGGGUCAAAGUGCAGCCAGAACUAAAGCAUGGGAUGAAAGGUCAUAUUUCUAGUAGUGUAUAGUUGUUGUGAAGGACUGACUUGGCUGUCCUCUCUCUUCUCCAUCCCCUUGGUCUUACGCCGCCGCUCGCACGCGAGCCGGUGCCCAACCAGAGGAGUGAGAGCUAGGGGCAGGUUGGGAGGUGGGGAUAGUGACUGGUGGCCAGGGUGAUGGUUGAUCCUGGUGGGGUUAGGGUUUUAGGGUUUUCGAGCUUCCUAUGGUCGGCGAACCUAGAGGAGGAGCUCAACAUCAGCUGCAACCCGCGAUGGUGGUGGUUUGGCCGGCGCCCGAGGCGAGGCAGCGCGGGAGUGCUGCCGGUGGGUUGGUGUUGGCACUCAUUAUUGACAACUAUUUUGUUCAUAAAAUAACACUCAAACUUGCUGCUGCUGCUGCUGCUGCCAUCGCCACCCUAGCCAUAAUAUAAAGGCAAAAUUUGCUAAAGGACAUGCAAAAUGAUGCUAGUUUGCUGGCGGGCAUCGUUGACCUUGUAAUAUGCUACAAGACACUCUAGUUGUGUAUCAAUUUGCUGAAAGACAUUGCUAUGACUAAAAUAAUGUUUCUGGACUGAGUUGGAGAGAGAGAUGGAGUGAAAUGUCUGUUUUGCCCAUGACCCCACUGGUCAGAUCCUUCUUCUUCCACCCUCCUUUGUUCUUUCUUCAACCAUUACCCAGCUCCAGCGUGUUGCAGAUCUACGAGGGUGGCGGCCUGGGGCGAGGGGCAUCGCUCGCCCUUGGAGGAGCGCUGCGAGCGACGGCGCGGGGGCGGCAACAGCGCGUCAGAACCUGACUGUUCGUUAGCUCCUCUCGCUGCUGGGGAAGGAGGGGGAUGGGCCAUGGACGGGGUUCCCUUGAAAACCUCAGCGUCGAGCUCGGGCGGCUACGCGCAGGCAGCACUAGGCUGCUUCACGGGGAGGGGGCGCGGCCAAUCAUUGGCACCCCACUGGUCCAAUGCUGAUGAAGAUGGUGCCAGCGUCGUGUGAGGACAUCUCAUCUCCUCGAGUUCCAUGGCCAGCACAGGUGAGCUGCCGCUACCACAAAACAGAGGUUUCGUGAGAGUCAAAAAACCUUAUGAAAAUAGCUAAAACCAUCAUGAAAAUAAUCCGUGACAUGACACUCUCACGAAAAUCCUCUCACAAAUAUGGUGCCAUGAAAAUACCAUUUUCAUGAGAGUGAACUGUCAUGAUUUUAUUUCGUGAGAGUAUUUCCUAUCAAUGACCUCCACGAAAUACUUUGUGCCACCAGGUCUUCAAGAUCAUUUUCAUGAGAGCUGAACAUCAGGAAAAGUCCGCCACAAAUGUUUUUCUUGGAGCCCCUAACUCUCAUGAAAAUCAUGCGGGCCGCCACGAAAAACAGCAUGACCAAAUGACAAAUUUCAUUUUCAUGUGUUCAUACCGCCAUGAAAAUGGUCAUUUUCAUGAGAGUUGAUGAAACAAAAAAUAGUGCCAUUUUCAUGAGAGUUCAAGCAACCAGGAAAAGACACUAAUAAACAUCCAGAUCCCAUCCAGCACACAUCCAUGCACAUAUAUAACCCACAUAUUGCUCCAGCACACAUCCAUGCAUAUACAAGAUCCAAAUGUUAAUAUAGUAGACAUCCAUGCCUGAACUAGUCUGCCACACAAGUCAUUGAUGCUACAAAUCCUACAAUCGCAGCAUGUGCAUACAAGUCACAGAAUGAGACAAUGUACCCAAAACUAAAAGGUUAGCAUCAACUGUGCUUCAACCAAAGUUGUCAUCCCAACUCUCCUCUUCAUCCAUGCCAUUCUUGUCGUGGCCGUCACUGUCAGUCCCCAUGGCAUUGCCAAUGCUGUGCAUGUCUUGGUAGGAACCUACAUGUGAUGAACUAGUAACCUGCAAAAAGAGCUCAAAGGAUCUUGUUCUCAUAUUGUAGCUGUGAAAUUCUUACAAGUAGUGUUGCAAUCAGUUCACUUUGAACCAAAAGAGCUCAAAGGAUCUUGUCCUAAAAGUUCCUCAUAAAGCUUAUGGGUUUGCUGGUGGAACUGGAAGGGCUUGAUGCAGCAGAUGCCAUUCUGCAAUAGAGAAAAAUUUAGAGAGCAGUACUAGUUAAAAUUGGAUGCAGAAGAUACACAUGAAACUAGUAUUUAUACAAGUCUAUACAAUUAAAAUCUAAGGAGACUUAUCAUCGUUUUCAUGUGUUGUGAAUUAAAAUAAUGAAGGAUACACUGUUAGGUGAAAAUUCAAGAAACAAAAUUUUGCAUAGAGAUAAAGGUCCAACAUUAUUACAAGUUAAGGUAGUUUUAAAUAUCCUUGUAAUCUUCCUUUGGUUUCCUCAACGAUUCGAAGACAAUAACCUUGCUUCUAUCAAUGAUAAUUAUAAGGAGAAUCCAGUGGAAACUGUGUAUUCGUAUUAGAACUACCUAAGGUUAAUUAGGUUAGGAAAGGAAAUUGAAAAUAGAUGGUACCCACACUUACUUAAAGUUGUCGGGCAAUAGUAUGUAAUGCUUGUAAUUCCGUUGCUCCAAGAAUUUGUAUAUGUGGUCCAAUGUAGACUUUGGUUGAUCCCGUAUCUGCUGUUGGUUAAAUAAGUGUUUCUAGCCAUUUCUAGCCAUUAGAACCGGGACUAAAGGGGGCUCUUUAGUACGGGUUGAUAUUACUAACCGGGAUUAAAGAGCCCCCAUUAGAGUUGGUUUUUGGAUGCGGAACUAACAACUCCUUUAGUCCUGAGUACGAAAACAACUGACAUAUUUGUUGCUGGAUGGAAGGUCCUUUCUCUACCGUGAAUAUUGCCAGAAAGAAUUGAAAGAGACUGCUUGCUAAAAAUAUGUCAUAGAUGUAGACCAAGCUACCAAGGAGGUAGACCAAACAUGAUACACACCAUGCGUACCUUGCUGUGCAGACUAUGCAUUGACAAGAUACCCGACCACAUGUUGGCCUCGGUCACAUCAAAAGAAUCAUGUAGGCCACCAAUAAACUACUUGAAGCGGCAUUCCGUAUCGUAUAUGCAUUGCCGGUUCAUCUGCAUUACAUUACAUAAAGCACUAUUAACUAUUUGAAUAAAAUGAACCAAUUUAAAAGUAAUGUGUUGUACUCUACUAUAGAAAGCCCUAUCACUGCCGGAUCCAAAAACAUCAUUGUUAAUGGUGGUUAAGUACCAAAUAUGACGGUCAAUAUUCUCAAGAAUAAUGGAGAAUUAGCAUUUCUUAGACACAUAUUUGGUUUUGAACAAUGUAGUUCCACAUGUCUUUGGAGAUUAUUUGGGUGUGGGUGAAAUAAUACAAAAAUAAGGAGAAAACACACUCCCAUGGCGAAGAAACACAACUCCAACCAAUGAGAGAUAGCCACAGGGGCAGCACACGGAUCCAUGGGCCCACUAACCGCAUCAAACCAUCUUACCAAGGCAGGUAGCACCCACAACCGUCAUUAGGACCCACCUGGAAGUCUACCAAGAAGAAGGUUGCGAGUGGGGCCAGGAGGGGUUCGGUUGAAUCAUCUCUAGCUAGCUCCCCUCAUCCCCAGCUGGUGGGUGGUGGUGGUUGAUGGUGUCCCUACAUCAGUUAGAGGAGAUUCCCCCAAAUAUUCCUCCUGUAAACCACCUCUAUGGACCUAUACAUAGAGGGGUGUGCUCUCCAUUCCAACACACACCACAAGUUGAAUCACUCUCUCCCUCUUUAGUUUCCAAGUUUAUGGAGUUAGGCUAGAGUAGCUCUGCUCAAGGUUCCAAGUCCACUUGGAGUUAAGCAUAUGUCUCUUGUAUCGUUAUUUCCUAAAUUGACUUUAUGCUUAGUUCUUAUAUGCAUGAGUUAGUCUAAUACCCUUGCUAUAUUGAUAUGCUCGGCUUAUAUGCUCGUAUGCUAGUCAUAUACCCUUGCUGUCGUAGUAUAGGCUUAUAUGCUCUCAUGUGUGCCUGUAGACCUUGCUAUAGUAUAUACUUGUUGUGCAUACAUACCAUGUAUAGGCUAGUCGAUCUAUACCAUGGCAUUGGUUCAAUAGCCAUGUUUUUGGUGGCUCCAACCCUAGUCACAAUAGCUCGGGACAGCUGGAGUGUUGUUAAAAAUGCAAGAGUGGUGCUUGGGUUGUUUAGCAUCGUUGGAUAUGGGUUUGCCCCACGGGUUUCUAACGGUAGGCGGCAGCUAGUGACAUCCCUGUCCGUCCUUCGUAAUCCCCCCACAUUCAGGUACGCCAUAAAUGUUCGUAAAUUAGCAGUAACUACGCCGGUACACCUGUAGGGUAUUGUCUCCCUGUAGUACCUUGGUGCAUAGAACUAAGUCCUAUACACUGUGUGUGUAUGUUUACGCUGAUAUGAUCUGUGCAGUAUAUAGGAUGUAUAUAUGAACCUAGAGCUAACUCCUAGUCCGUUCUCCAUAGCUUAGUUAUCUUGAGAUGAUUCUUCUGUAUGUGUAACACUACCCAUCUUAUCAUUAUCCUUGAUCCUGUCUUGUGUAAUAUAUCUACUCAUCCUAUGAUAUACUCAUAUGCAUAGUAAACUAUUUUGACCUACCCGCCUUCCUUUGGGAAAUAUGAUACCUUGGAAUAAUCCUAGGUGAAAUCCUACAACGGUAUAUCCAUGUAAAUGCGGAUUUAUUCAUGACCAUUAAAUAUACCAACAAUCAUCACUGUGAGUUUUGGGCGUCGUUAGUGAAGGGUUGGUAGUGAUGGGCAUCCCCUUCACCAAUGGACCUGGAACCGGCGGUGAUGGCUAUUAUAAAAAAGGGGACACCACCCAGCGUACCCCACGACCCGGCCGGCCGCACCUCCCAUCAUCCCCGCCAGCCGCCCUUCCUUUUCGCCGGCCGAGCAUGGUCCCGGCCUUUGUCCCUACCACCUCGCCUCCACCGCGACCCCCCGCCGAUGCCCUCGUGCCUGGCCCCCCUCAUCUUGCCGGCCACCCUCCCGAUGCGUCCACUGGGGCCCUCGCACCACCAACCGCCCUUGCUUAGAGAGGGAGAGAGAGGAGGGAGGUGAGGCCACGCACCUCGUCCUACACCGCCGCUGUUUCUCCUCGGCCCACCGCGCCUCACCCCACACCACAGCCGCGCCUUGCCAUCUUACCGGCUGUGACGCCUCAUCUCACCGGCCACCGUUCCUCACCCCCACUUCGGUCGUCGCCGCUCCUUGCCCUACCGCUGCUCUUUGCCGCUGCGAAUGAGCGCCGAGUGGAGGAGGAGGGAUGGGGCAGGAGGAGGGCAAGAUCCGGGAGGAAGGGAGAGAUCUCGGGAGGUGGAGAUGGAAGGAUAUGGCGGAAGGGAGAGAUCCAGAGGGAGAGAGCAGGGGAGAGAGGGGGGCGUGUGGGGAGAGAGCGCGUGUGGGGUGGGGCCGGGCUGGUGGGAUGGAAGGGAGAGGGGCUAGACGGGCGCAGUGCAUUCAACUGGAUGAAGUAAAUAUUUUGGAUUCGAGACCCCAGCUUUAUUAUCACCGCUGGUCCGUAGUACCAUCCGGUGCCUGCUCGUAAUUUAAUUUGAAUCUGCGGUGAUGUUUUAUUAUCACCAUCGGAUCAUAUAAAAAUCCGGCGGUUAAAAAUCCGCUGGUUUCGAUGAAAACCGACGGUGAUAGGAUGACUGUGAUAGUCUCUUCUCUAGUAGUGGUAUAUUAGUACCGGCUGCCGGAUGGUGUUGCCGACCAGUACUUCUCCGGGGGCGAUUCAGUACUGCUGUUAGCAAAGCUUGUUCUCUAUGAAUUUGGGGAUGGAAAGCUAGUUCUCUAGUUGUGAUUUGUUACAUAUAUAUCUAUGAUAGUCUAGAAAUUGCAUGUCCUUCGUUGACAUAGUUGAAGCUGCUUCAAGAAUUUACUUCGUGCAGUCGUGCAGCAUAUUGGAUUAUCACCUAGACAGGAUACAUAGGUGAAGCAUUGGAUGUGAUUGUGGCCGAUAAUUAUGCAGGACGCUGUUGCAAUCAACCACCAAGAAGUCUGGAGUGAUGGGGUUGCCUCAUCAAUAAUUUUUAUAUAUGGCUGCAGUAUUAUUAAGCCCACGUCAAUAAUUUUUUGUCCGCACCAUAUAUCGAUGGGGUUGCCUCAUCAAUAAUUCGCGCAACCAGACAAGCUGCAGACUCAAUAUGGUACGAAGCUAGUUGCUCAGCCCACAUGCUCUGAUAUAACAUUGACAUCUGCUGAUCUACAGUAUAUAUGACCAGAAAUAUUGUGCCCACCUCAAUAACUUUCUGAAGUAUCGUGGGGAAGAACCUACGCGUACUAUGCCUCGGAACUAACUGACAUAUCGGCCCAGGCGGUCUAGGCCGAUUGGACUGGCUCUUCCUUGUGGCUUCUCACAUCCCCUUCGUCCCCAAGUAAUUUCAGGUGUUCUGUAGUUUUCUUUUCACUUGCAUCUGAGCCUCCUAUAUCAAUAGCUUCGGGAUAAGAAUGCCUCUUGAUAACCUUCCAAAUCCUCGCUUGAUUCACAUUGAUUCCGAAAUCAUCUUGCCAUAUCUUCAGAGACUUAGGUCCUAAGGCAUCAUGGAGGAUUGCUCGCCAAGAAUGAGCACCAUUGGGCUCCUGAGGACCCUAGGCCGAUCAGCCCGGGCUCUAUAGGUCGAUUGGCCCAGGCCCUCUCUGGGCCUGUUGGCCUUCAUCUUUCUUUGAGUCGACGCUUAUUCAGGGCUUUGUCCAAUUAUAGUCCAUUAUAGUCUAAUUUCCUAAAAAACAGAAUGUCCUCCAAAAUACAAUGCAUAUGUGAAAACAACCCAAUUAUUAGGUAUGAUCAAUAGUUUAGGUAUUAAAUUAAUAUUAUUAUUUAAGAUAAACAGGGGUAAAGGGUGUCAUUAAUAACAAGCGCCAACAAGCGUCCUAGCUGUUCAAUAAAUUUUUUCUAGUACCGAUUGGUAACACUAACCGGUGCUAAUAUGUACCCUUUAUUACCGGUUAUUUUACCAGGUACUAAAGGAGACAAGAGCAUCCUAACAUAAGGUUAAUAUCAUCCAUUUCAUGAGUAAAAUACUAUGAUUCAAAAAUAAUUCAAAUCCCUUAAGACAAUACCUAUCAAAUGAGUAAAUUGUAAAUAGAGUAAUCUUGAUCAAACAAUGUCCUAAUGAAACGGAACACUUCUGGUUCGUGUAGAGCACAAUAUAGAAAACAGUAGGGUAGCUGUAUGAUUGACACGUGGUCCAUUAAUUAUUGAGCCAACACUAUGGACAUGUCUUCAUGAGUAGUGUACUAGUCAUAAUACAUGGUAUGCAGUAGGUGGAGGUAUUGACUUAGCCAUGCUAUGAGCACUUAGUUACAACAAACACUUUGCCAUUAUCGAGCAUCCCAAAUCACUACAAAAUCCAUAGUUUACCAUAUACUACAAAAUCUGAGUUAAAAUAAGAGCAUACACGGAAGAGUCCGAAUGCACGGCACAUUGAAUUACUAGACAAAAUUUAUGGGACAAGGUUUUGGGUAACCGCAUGAAAAAUAUUGGAUUUUACUGAACACUUAGUUACAAUUACCAUGCCCGUGAGCACUUAGUCACCACAAACAUUUAACCACUUUAGAUCAUCCUGAAUCCCUAUAAAUUCUAUACCUUACACCGUACCAUGAAAACGACAAGAACAGAGACAGAUGCGGUGAAAAUCUCCAGAGCAAGCCUGAAAUUAAAAUAAGAGGAGGCAGUCACUAUCGACAGGACACGGAGAUUGCUAGCCAUGACAGAGGAAGACAUGAUAUGAUAUUCACCUCUGAAAUGCAGCGUAGACUAAAUGAAGCACAAUUGCAAGUGAGUGUGGCAGAUAAUGGACCAUCGAGACCAUCGAAUGGUAUGAAGCAUGAUUAUCACCUAGACAUGAUAUCCUAGACAGGACGGUGAAUUGUAAAAAGAGUAAUCUUGAUCAAAGAAUGUCCUAAUGAAACGGAACAUUUUUGGUACGUGUAGAGCAAAAUAUAGAAAACAGUAGAGUAGUUGUACGAUUGAAACUGCAUCCAUCGACGUGGUGCAUGAAUUGUUGAGCCAACACUGUGGACAUGUCUUCAUGAACACCAUCUAGUGAGGACAGCAUGCAGAAAAAUAUAAAAACAUGUCAUAGGGAGGCAGACCAAUCUUGCGAGGUAGACGAAACGUGAUACACGAUCUGCCUACCUUGUCGUGUGGAUACCCCAAGUGAAGAUGUCAUAGAGGUGCAGACCAAGCUAGCAAGGAGGUAGAUGAAACGUGAUACACGGCCUGCCUACCUUGCCGUGGAUAUUAGUCCUGAUAUCAUUCUAUUGUUCAAGGAAUAACACUCAAUGCUGCUGCUGCUGCUGACCUGGCUCCAUAAAGUUAUAUUCCUCUAGCCGCUUGCACUAACUUUAUCUGAAGUAUUAUUCUCUCUGCACUGUAUAUAUGGUUACGGAGUUUGCUGGAGUAUCCGGGGGGAAGAACCUACAUAAUAUGUCUUGGAACUAACUGACAUUGAUUCACAGACAAGGUGCUGUUGUUGACAUGGUACAGUAAAUAAUAUAGUUUACCAUAUACCGUAUACCAUUAUAUGUUAGCUAAAAUAAGAGCAUAACAUGUCGCAGGAGUCCAAAAGCACCGGUUGAGGACCAGGUACAUUAAAUUACUAGAAAACAAAAGGGGACAAGGUUUAGGUAGCCACAUGAAAAACAUUUGAAUUUACUGUACCAUGAACACUUAGUUACCAUGCCGGGAGCACCUAGUUAACACUAACAUUUAGCCACUUUAGAUCAUCCCGAAACACCAAUGACCCUCAAUAGCGACAAAUUUUGGUUUAAAUGCCGUCACCAAUGAUCCUCAAUAGUGACGUGUUUAGGUUUAAAUCCCAUCACUAAUAACCCUUGGUAGUGACGUGUUUUGGUUUAAAUCUCAUCACCACUGAUCCUCACUAGUGACGUGUUUUUAGCAACACACGUUAUGAAUGACUUGUCAUUGGUGACAUGUUAAACGCGUUAUCUCAAUGGCAAAUCAAUGGUGACGUGUUUAAAAAAACAUGUCACUGUGAGAGUUAUUGGUGAAGGGUAAUUAAAAUGCAUCACUAAUUUUGUAGCAUUAGUUAUGAUAUAAUUUUGUAACGCAAAAAUCUACCAUAGUAAUGAGGUUUAGAGCCAUCACUAAUGUGGGUUUCUUAUCGUAGUGAUGCAAGCUCUACAAGGUGCUGUUGUUGCCAUUUUAAAGCAUCCCAAAUGACUACAAGAGUCCGGUUGAGGACUAAACAAAUUGAAUUACUAGAACCAAAUGUAUGUCCAGAACAAAGAAAGGGGUCAAGGUUUGGGUAACCGCAUUAAAAACAUUGAAUUUUACUGUACCAUGAACACUUAGUUACCAUUACCAUGCCUUGAGCACCUAGUUACCACAAACAUUAAUUUAGCCACUUUAGAGGUUCCACAAUCACUAUAAAUAAUAUACCAACACCGUACCAUGAAAACAUCAAGAAGAGAGACGGGUACAUGGACCACCAUCAAGUGAGUAGUGACAGCACGCACAAGAAUACCCGGAACCUUUUAGCUUGUCUGUAGUGAUCUGUUUUCUUCGCCACAAAUAAUGAAAGAGGCUGACCAAGCUAGCAACGAGGUAGAGCAAACGUGAUACACGUAGGUUUCAUUCAAGACAUCCAUGUAAGAUUCAUUCAAAACAUUCAUGGAAAUUUCUUGUAAGUUUUCAUGUAAAUUUCAUUCAAGACAUUUGUUAGAGGUGUUGUAUAUACACUUAACGUACAUAUAUCUAUGAUUUCAUGGUUGUUAGUGAUGGCAGAUGAGGAGCAUGCAAGGUGUUUAAUGGAGCAGAUUAUUGCUAGUGGUAGUGGCUCCAACCUGCCCGUAACGUACACCGACGAAGAGGGCAGCCAGGCGGACAUGUUCCUCAACAUGUCCGGUGAUGGCAAUGAAGAGCCCGAGCAAAACCUUGCCGUGACGGAAGGUUCCAUCGAGGUAUAUAUCAUUUCCAUUAUUUUACCCCAUCUAUAAUUUCAUAUUCAUUAUUACUAUGUGCUAAUUAAUGAAUCUUGAACCGUUAGUCCUCUAGAUCAACGAACCGAAAUAAGCCCCGAGGUCUUACAAAGAUAAUGCAGGGAAGGCUUCACAUCAUGGAAGUCACAGAAGAGGGCACAUCGGUUGCUCCCGAACAUGUGGCAAGAAAGUACGUGAGUCAAACCGGGGCAAUCGUAAGGGACAACAUGCCCAUCAGCAUCAGGGAAUGAAAGAGCAAUAGAAAUGAUCUAUACGCACCCCCGGAUACACAAAAGGAUAUGUUGUGGGCAAAUAUCAAGAAACACUUCACAUUUCCCAAAGGAUAUGUUGAAAAAUAUGUGAAAGCGUGGAUGUUGAAGAAGAUGGCCACCCAAUUCCAGACAUUCAAGAAGAUGUUGGAUGCCAACUUCAUCAAGAAGGGUCGAACUCCGGGUUUCAAUGAGUGGCCAAAGUUAAGGGACCACUGGGAGUCGUUUGUCGAAUACAAGACGAGCGAAGGUGGUGCGAGUAAGGUUCACAUCAAUGUUGCCAAUGCUAGCAAGGAGUACCAUCAUCAUCUAGGGCGACGUGGUUACAGCUCUGCAAUUCCCAGAUGGCGCAAGAUGGAACAAGACCUGAUCGAUCGGGGUAUCGUACCAGCAACUCUUGACUGGAUCGAUUGAAAAAUUGGUAUUAUGCUCAUGAAGGCAAUCUGAGCCAAGAGGAUCCGACAUUGGUCUUCAAUAAAACAAUACGUCAGAAGGUCGGAAGGCUUAUUAGGAACAUUGAAGAUGCUAAAGCUGGGAGGUUCAAGGUGGAUAGAGAGAAUGAUGAACUCACAUUGGCCCUCGGGACUGUCAUCUCUAGCACUUCCAGCUCCAGGACUAUCGUCACCACCGGGACCGUCGCUUCCUGCUCGAUCACAGUCUCCAUCUCCAGCACAUCCUGGUGGUGCGAGCGACGACGACAACAACACCCCUCCCUGCCCACCAUUGCCGGGACUAAGACCCGCAUUGAGUAAGGAACCUGCAACACCACUGAAGAAGUCGCGACCACCACCUUCAAGGCAAGUCAGCAAAAGAAGAAAGCAGAGAAGCCUAAACCCACUGAGAAGCCAGCGACUGAUAUGACCGAUGCGGAAAGAUGGAAGGCACUCAAAGAAGAAUGCAGGGAGUGGUUCAGCGAAGGCGAAGGUGAGAAAGUCGUAUGAAUCGAAUUCAAGGAUAUAUAUGAAGUGAACCAUCAGGAUGCCCUUGAUGUCUCUCUCAUCAGCGCCUAGGUUCUGUAAGUGUAUGUUUAUCUAUAAGUAAAUUUUGGCUCAUAUCAUUAUUUUUUUUGCGUGCGUCACCCUACUAACUUCGUCUUCCAUUUUAUGUAGGAUGCUAAUUCAGACGUGCCGCAUAGAAGCGUACUUCCAUGUUGGAUUCAUGGAUCCAUCCCUAGUUAACCAAAAGCCGAUACGGAAGUAGCUAGAGAAAACGUUGGAGGUGGUGUACAACCUCCUGGACAAACUAAACUACAGAAUAGGGGCAAUAUGUGAGGGUCUUGUAGGAUUCCUAGUGGACGAGGUGAUAAAUCCAUAAGGAGAAUAUCAUUCCAACGGACGAGCAUUAGACACACUGAGCAACACCUAGAUGGGAGGAUCCUAGGAAUGACCUCGACAGAUUUUGGUAUAAAUAGUAAUUGUGUAAAUACUAGUUUGAUUUGUAUAGGAAUAUACUAAGAAUUGUAUAUAUAGUAAUUGUACAAAUACUAGUUUGAUUUGUAUGAAUACUAGAUUGAUUUUAUUAUAAAAAAGUUUUAAGUCGUACGUGCAUGCGCCUACAAAGGCGCGGAUGCCUUUUAAUCCCAGUCGGAAAAACAAACUGGUACUAAAGGGGCUCGUGCCGCACCUGGCAUGACCACCCCUUUAGUCCCGGUUGAACGACCCAGGACUAAAGAUCUCCGCGUCUCAAAAAUUUUAUCUCGGAUGCUUUUUAGAGAGAUUUGAGGCCUAUCAACCAAGACUAAUAUCGAGUUUUCUACCAGUGAAACUAACUAACGUUCACAUGGUUUUGACAUUCACCUGCCAUUUGGUGUAGACAAGGGCACCCUAACAUAUGGUUAAUAUUAUUCUUGAAAGAAAAUCCUUUGAUUCAAAAUACUUCAAACCUAAUAAUACAAUACUUCUCACAUCUGAAAAAUAUGAGACGGCCCGACAGUAUUCUAAUCGACGCAAUAAUAUUUUGAGGGCAGCACUACUACAGCGACCCUCAUUCGUGCCGGUGCUGGGACUCCUAUCACGACCCUGAUACAAAUGAGGGUACAUUAUUGGUGCCAGUGCUAGAACAGCCACGAAUAACUUGCUAAACGUGCUGUUACACUCACUACAGGGACCAAGAAGGUAGAUAAAUUACACGACAUAGCCUUGGUUGCCGUGGAAGCGCCAAGAAGGGAGACAAAUUACAGGGACCACACCAUCAAGUAGAUAGUGACAAUAUGCAAAAGAAUACCCGCGCCUGUUAGCAUGUGAACUGACCACACCACGAAACGUGAUACACGGCAAGCGUACCAAGGCCUUGCUGUGCAGACUAUGCAUGGACAACACAUGGUACCUGACCGCUUUUGGCCUCAGACACAUCGAAAAACUGCAUCGUUCCACGUUGUACAUCCAUUGCUAGUUUAUCUAUAUUACAUAAUAUAUUAUUAGCUAUUUGAAUAGAAUGAACCAAUUAAAAAAUUGCGUUGUAUUUUUAGUACCGGCUGCAGGAUGGUGUUACCAACCAGUACUAAUUGGCCUGUAGGAGUGAUGGUUAUUAGACUUGGUACUGUUGUUAGCAUCAUUAACCUAAUUGUGCGCCGUAUGAAUUUGGGGAUGCAAAGCUAGCUCUCUAUGAAUGUGAGGGAUGGAAAGCUAGUUCUCUAGUAGUAAUUAUAUAUAUGACAGUCAAGAAAUCGAACACUAUGCUGCUACGAGUCACCAUCAUUUCCUUCAUUGACAAUCUGACAUAGGUGAAGCUGCUUCAAUAAUUUCCUUCGCGCAGUCGUGGAGCUUAUUGGAUUAUCACCAGGACGGGACACGGAAAUGGCCAGCAAUGAAGCUGAUUGCCGUCUGAGGAAGACUACAUACUUACCUAUGAAAUGAAGCGAUUGCAUAGACUAAUGAAGCAUUGCAUAUUUGCAUGUGAGUGUGGCAGAUAAUUCUGCAGGACAUGAUUGCAAUCCACGCACCAUCGAGAAGACUGGGGCGAUGGGGUUGCCUCAUCAAUAAUCACGUGGAUGCAUGCAUGCAUGUUCCCGCAACCGGACAAGGGUCUGAUAUAUGGCUAUAGUAUUACUGAGCCCACAUCAAUAAUUUCCACUGGUGUAUCGUGUGGGAAGAAUCAACAUACUACACCUCGAGUUCUUGGAACUAACUGACGUUCACAUGCAACCUCCACAAGGUGCUGUAUGCUUUUGACAUUCACCUGCCAGUUCGUGUAGAGAAGGACACCCUAACGUAUAGUUAAUAUUAUCCAUUUCAUGAGUAAAAUACUGUGAUUCAAAAAUACUUCAAAUCCCUUGAGACAAUACUUCUCACUUGACUAACCACUAACCAACCCCGAAACCCUAACUCAACUCCGAACCCUAACCCCUAACGGCAUAACCACUCCGUUUUGCCGGCGAGAUGGAGGAACUGGCUGGAAGGUAGAGAGGGCAGCGGUCCAGGGUUGAAAACGACGGGCGAGCGCAGUAACAUGUGGAGGAGGAAGUGCCACGUAUUCGUUCACCGCUAUUGGGCAGCGACACACGACACGCCCAAUAAGAUCUUCGCACGGUAGAAGGACGUCAUGUAUUCAAUAAUGUUAUUGGUCCCCCAUGUGCAGAAGGGCGCGCGCGUAUGGAAUAACAAGUAGGGACACUGCAACUAAUCUACUCUGCUCGUCCAGUCCCUAGCCUAUAAAUAGAUGCCAUGCUAGCUCUUGUUGUGCUCACAAUUAAUCCGAUUACACACGAGCUUCUCUCCCUGGCCAAGACACAACCAUAGUAUGAUGAAGAACAUGGCACUAGCCGGCAAUGGUAUGAAGAAGUUAAUCCUCGCUGUUCUCUUACUGUGUCUAGUUAUAGGGCAGAUACAAGUGGAAGCUAAGAGCUGCUGCCCAUCCACCACUGCAAGAAAUGUCUACAAUACCUGCCGUUUCACGGGUACAUCCCGUCCAACGUGUGCAAAACUGUCAGGCUGCAAAAUUAUCAGCGGGAACAAAUGCAAGCCCCCUAACGACCACCUCACCCUUGACCCGGACACUGGUAAAUAAUAAAUUUAUCUCACUUGAUUUCUUCGUGAUUUGAGUCGUUAAUGUAUUUUCCAUCUGAUGAAACGUAUUGGUUUUGCAUUGAAGAGGAAGUUAAUGUGCUUAACUUCUGCAAGUUGGGGUGUGCGUCGUCUGUGUGCAACAACAUCAACGCUGGUAAGCAACUUUUGCUCAGACAGAGAAAACAAUAAUCAUUAAUUAGCGGCAGCUAGAAUCCUAUAAUCUAAUAUAUAUAUAUAUAUAUAAUUUUAUCAGCUCUGGGAAAUGAAGAGGCGAACGAUGCCGUUGAGAGUUGCGACCAAGCCUGCUCUAGCUUCUGCAGCGUGCAUGUUGGCAGCGCCACCGUGGUUGCUUAAGCAAAUGCAUCCAACUAGAUCGUCCUUGUGCUGAAUAAUUGGAUAUCGUAUCCACUUAAAGCUGCCUUGUGUAGUACGUCUUUGUGUCUCUCUUUAUAUUCCAAUAAGGUCGGUGAUCUUGAUGCCACACACUCAGAUGUGUGUUCAUCUCCAGAUACUACUCCAUGCUACCUGCCCUUUGUGUUUUGUUCAAUAACUGGGUAUCAUAUCCCAGCCAGUAUGCCGUCUGUUUUGUGUUUGUUUCCUUCUAGUUCCAAAGGGGUCAUCAUGAUGUUACCUUCUUUCAAUAUGGUGCUUUGCAUGACUACUGUUGUAUGGUACCAUCUUGUGGCCAAUAAGUACAUCUUAUCCUAUGACCUUUGCUAUGACCCUUUGCAAAUAAGUAGAAGAUUGUUAUAAGCGUCAAUACUCCGUAUAAAUUGAUCGCUGCUGUGAGUUCCCUUUCAGCUUAUCGUAGGCAUACAUUAUUGCUAGCACGGUAAAGCCAACCAACACGAAUGAUGAAGUAAACGUAGCGGUACUUCUGUAUACCAACACCCUUACUUAAAUGUACCGGUGUCAUUCCCUACUGGCACAUAUAUUCUUAUAUGCUAGCCAGCUUGUAAAAUUAACCAAUUAAAAUAAUUAUUUCAAGAUAGAAAUAACUUAUCGGUUUCUGGAAGCAUGUGUAAUGUGAAUUCAAGGACUCGACGGAAGUUGAAUCACUUCAUCUAUAUUGCUUUCAGUAUUUUGGGUAACUAAAUUUAACAUUUGCACAUACAAAUGUUAAAGUACAAAUGUUAAAUCUAGUUACCCAAGCAGAAUAUGAAGAUAGUUUAUAGUAUAUAUAUACUAUAUAAAUCUAGUUAACAUUUAGUCUAAAUGUUAAAUCUAGUUACCUAAAAUCCUGAAAGCAAAAUGUAUAAAUAUAUAUCUUUUAAGGCAGUAUAAGCUUCGAUUCCUAUUGCUGCUCUGUUAAAUCUCAUCUUUCGUUGUGGCCCAACACUCUAGUAUGCAUGUUGCACCAAGCUUCUUUGAGCCGCUCUGCCCUCUGAUUUUGCUGCGUAGGGGAAUCUUUAUCAGGUUGGGCUACUUCCAGUUGUGCGAUGUAAAGAUUCGUAUUUUCUAGAAGGUAGACAAAAAACUCGCGUUCUCUUAAGGCAACAACCGGAAGAUUCUGCAGCGCACAGGGCAUACCAUUAUUGUAGAAACGACCUUUAGUACCGAUCUCCAACCCCCUUUAAAACUGGUUUUGCAACCGGUACCGUUAUGUCGGUCCUUUAGUACCAGAUCAAAUAAGUACCGGUUGGUAACCAGUAUCAACUUGUUUUGCGGCCAAAAAAAUAAAGAAAAAAACAGUCAGAAGGCUCGCACACACGCGCAUCACAUGAAAUAUGCGUGUGCGGGGUCCAUGGGAUUCGAACCCAUGAAAUCAAGCUGCACGCGACCCUUCGUUACCAUCUCACCUACAUAGCGCAUAUGCUUUCCUGAAGUAACCCGUGGAGGAGGCUUUAGUACCGGGUCAUAACACCACCCGGUACUAAAAAUGACUCUUCAGUACCGGGUCAUAACACCACCUGAUACUAGUAUCGGAUGGUGUAAUGACCCGAUACUAAAAGGCCUCUAGGGACCCUCAAAUUUGAACCCGGUACUAAUGCUAAUAUUAGUAGCGGGUCAAAGUGCAGCCAGAACUAAAGCAUGGGAUGAAAGGUCAUAUUUCUAGUAGUGUAUAGUUGUUGUGAAGGACUGACUUGGCUGUCCUCUCUCUUCUCCAUCCCCUUGGUCUUACGCCGCCGCUCGCACGCGAGCCGGUGCCCAACCAGAGGAGUGAGAGCUAGGGGCAGGUUGGGAGGUGGGGAUAGUGACUGGUGGCCAGGGUGAUGGUUGAUCCUGGUGGGGUUAGGGUUUCAGGGUUUUCGAGCUUCCUAUGGUCGGCGAACCUAGAGGAGAAGCUCAACAUCAGCUGCAACCCGCGAUGGUGGUGGUUUGGCCGGCGCCCGAGGCGAGGCAGCGCGGGAGUGCUGCCGGUGGGUUGGUGUUGGCACUCAUUAUUGACAACUAUUUUGUUCAUAAAAUAACACUCAAACUUGCUGCUGCUGCUGCUGCCAUCGCCACCCUAGCCAUAAUAUAAAGGCAAAAUUUGCUAAAGGACAUGCAAAAUGAUGCUAGUUUGCUGGCGGGCAUCGUUGACCUUGUAAUAUGCUACAAGACACUCUAGUUGUGUAUCAAUUUGCUGAAAGACAUUGCUAUGACUAAAAUAAUGUUUCUGGACUGAGUUGGAGAGAGAGAUGGAGUGAAAUGUCUGUUUUGCCCAUGACCCCACUGGUCAGAUCCUUCUUCUUCCACCCUCCUUUGUUCUUUCUUCAACCAUUACCCAGCUCCAGCGUGUUGCAGAUCUACGAGGGUGGCGGCCUGGGGCGAGGGGCAUCGCUCGCCCUUGGAGGAGCGCUGCGAGCGACGGCGCGGGGGCGGCAACAGCGCGUCAGAACCUGACUGUUCGUUAGCUCCUCUCGCUGCUGGGGAAGAAGGAGGGGGAUGGGCCAUGGACGGGGUUCCCUUGAAAACCUCAGCGUCGAGCUCGGGCGGCUACGCGCAGGCAGCACUAGGCUGCUUCACGGGGAGGGGGCGCGGCCAAUCAUUGGCACCCCACUGGUCCAAUGCUGAUGAAGAUGGUGCCAGCGUCGUGUGAGGACAUCUCAUCUCCUCGAGUUCCAUGGCCAGCACAGGUGAGCUGCCGCUACCACAAAACAGAGGUUUCGUGAGAGUCAAAAAACCUUAUGAAAAUAGCUAAAACCAUCAUGAAAAUAAUCCGUGACAUGACACUCUCACGAAAAUCCUCUCACAAAUAUGGUGCCAUGAAAAUACCAUUUUCAUGAGAGUGAACUGUCAUGAUUUUAUAAGCGUCAAUACUCGGUAUAAAUUGACUACUGCUGUGAGUUCCCUUUCAGCUUAUCGUAGGCAUACAUUAUUGCUAGCACGGUAAAGAGAACCAACACGAAUGAUGAAGUAAACGUAGCGGAACUUUUGUAUACCAACACCCUUACGUACCGGUGUCAUUCCCCACUGCCACAUAUAUUCUUAUAUGCUAACCAGCUUUGAAAAUUAAGCGAUUAAAAUAAUUAUUUCAAGAUAGAAAUAACUUAUCGGCUUCUCGAAGCUUGUGUAAUGUGAAUUCAAGGACUCGAUGGAAGUUGAAUCGCUUCAUCUAGAUUGCUUUCAGGAUUUUGGGUAACUAAAUUUAACAUUUGCACACACAAAUGUUAAUGUACAAAUGUUAAAUCUAGUUACCCAAGCAGAAUAUGAAGAUACUCUAUAGUAUAUAUGUACUAUAUAAAUCUAGUAAACAUUUAGUCUAAAUGUUAAAUCUAGUUACCUAAAAUCCUAAAAGCAAAAUGUAUAAAUAUAUAUCUUUUAAGGCAGUAUAAGCUUCAAUUCUCUGUUAAAUCUCAUCUUUCGUUGUGGCCCAACACUCUAGUAUGCAUGUUGCACCAAGCUUCUUUGAGCCGCUCUGCCCUCUGAUUUUGCUGCGUAGGGGAAUCUUUAUCAGGUUGGGCUACUUCCAGUUGUGCGAUGUAAAGCUUCGUAUCUUUUAGAAGGUAGACAAAAUACCCGCGUUCUGGAAGAUUCUGCAACGUGCACGUUGGCGCUGCCACCGUGGUUGCUUAAGCAAAUGCAUCCAACUGAAUCGUCCUUAAGCUGAAUAAUUGGAUAUGGUAUCCACUGCUUAAAGCUGCCAUGUUUAGUACGUCUUUGUUUUUCUCUCUUUAUAUUCCAAUAAGGUCGGUGAUCUUGAUGCCACACACUCAGAUGUGUGUUUAUCUCCAGAUACUACUCCAUGCUACCUACCCUUUGUGUUUUGUUCAAUAACUGGGUAUCAUAUCCUAGCCAGUGUGCCAUCUGUUUUGUGUUUGUUUCCUUCUAGUUCCAAAGGGGUCAUCAUGAUGUUACCUUCUUUUGAGGUGUCUAUGAUGACUUCGUUAAUAUCAAUAUUAACCAAUUCAAUCUGUCUUAACUAUUUGUAAGGGGUAUGAUGUAUGCAUGAUUAUAACAAUGAUUGCGCAUACAAUCGCCGCCAAAGAAACGGUCAAUACCAUUAAGACAUAUUACAGACAAUUCUCAUAAUCUAUAAUGAAUAUACAUAUUCACUACUGCAGAAGACUGUCAUUUGUAUCGGCUCAUACGUGCCAGGGCAAAGGUCACCCUUGCAUUAAGUACAUUUGCACGGUAAAGACAACCAACACGAAUAAUGAAGUAAACAUGCCGGUGCUUUUGUACACCAACACGCUUACUUAAAUGUACUGGUGUCAUUCCUCACCGGUAGCCGGCUUGAAAAUUAACCAAUUAGAACAAUUAUUUAUUGUAUCGGUGUGAUUUUUGACCUAUUGGAAUAUGAAUUUGACCGUUACUGCAUUCGUCAAGACUCAAGAGAGAAAUAACUGAUCGGCUUCUUAGAGCGUGUGCAAUGUGAAAUCAAGGACUGGAUGGAAGUUGAAGCGCUAGCACUAGUAGAGAAACGACUUUCCAUCCACCCCCUUUUGUCCCGGUUUAAAGUUGGCUCGGGAUAAAAGGUUCACCAACCGGGACUAAAACUCAGUCACUGGUGGGAGGCUCACCAACCGGAACCUUUUAUCCCGGUUGCAAAGGCUAAUGGGAAAAAAAGACUCUGAGAGGCCUUUUAUCCCGGUUUGAAACACCAACCGGGAUAAAAGACCCCCCUUUUAUCCCGGUUGGUAACACCAACCGAGAUAAAAGGGUCAAGAGCCUUUUAUCCCGGUUGGAAACACCAACCGGGAUAAAAGACCCCCUUUUAUCCCGGUUGGUGUUUCAAACCGGGAUAAAAGGGCCCCCACGAGGUGACUGGAAGGUGACUGGAAGGGGAUUAAAUCGUGGGGGACCCUUUUAUCCCGGUUGGAAACACCAACCGGGAUAAAAGGGGGUCUUUUAUCCCGGUUGGUGUUUCCAACCGGGAUAAAAGGGUCCCCCACGAGUUAAUACAAAAGGAUAGUAUCCCCUACAUAGUCAGAUGUGGUGUGUAGGUGGGAUGGUAAGGAAGCUACGCGCGAGCUCCGGAAUUUUUUUUUUUUUUUUUUGCAGCGUCGGCGCUCUCUACCCUUUUAUCCCGGUUGGUAUUACCAACCGGGAUAAAAGGGGGUCUUUUGUCCCGGUUGAGUGACCCGGGAUAAAAGACCCCCCCUUUUUUCCCCGGUUAGUUUAUCCCGGAUGCAUUUUCGGGAUAAAAGCACCCUACCAACCGGGAUUAAAGCUCACUUCUCUACCAGUGUAGCUUCAUCUUCCGCUGCAAGUUAAUUGCUUGGAUAAGAAGUUGUAGCCGCUGCAAGUUAUAAAUAGUCCCGCUGAUGCUGUGCUCCGAAGUCUAUACUAUAUAUGCGGAAACUAGAUUGCUUUCAGGAUUUUGGGUAACUAAAUUUAACAUUUGUACAUAAAAAUGUUAGUUUACGAAUGUUAAAUCUAGUUACCCAAGCAGAACAAGAAGAUAGUAUAUAGUAUAUACUAUAUAAAUCAAGUUAACAAUUAGUCUAAAUGUUAUAUCUACUUACCCAAAAUAUUGAAAGCAAAGAAAGAAUAAGUAUAUAUCUUUUGUUGGAAAAUUGGUCCACGGAGAGGCCCAUUUAGGCCUCGUUCGUUUCACCGGGAUGGGAUUCCAGUCAGGAUUACUUCCAAGUUCGGUUUGAGUGAUUCCACCCGUGUCACUCAAUCCGGCUAGGAUUCAUUCUAUGGGUGAGGAGGUAUGGUUUCAAUCCAGGCCAUCUAAUGUAGAAGGAUUCCAAUCCAGGCCGGUUUUCGUUCCAGGCCAGACUAAAACGAACAACACUUUCAAUGCAAGUCUGGUUUCAAACCGGGCCAUUUCAAACCACCCGGAAUGGACCUCGUUCCAGGCCAAUCCGGUGAAAACAAAUGAGGCCUUAAUGGAAUCCCAAAGCAAGAGUUCAGUGGCAUUCUAUAGUCCCAUGCUGCUAGUUUGAGUUGGUCGAAGCCAACUUAAAUAGGAGAGCUCUCUCACUUCUCUAAAUACGUAACUGAAGGAGAGAAGGGGGCUUGGGUUACACAACGCACGCACGCACGCAUAUUUGCGUUCUUUUCGCGUAACCAACCGCGUGACUUGAAACUUGCGACGUAGCGUGCUGCUAAGUCAAGUUGAUAUAACCUUUUUGCCGUUUGCAUGUAAUCUUUUGACAACGGUCAUUGGAGGUGAUAAGCACGCAGUCAAUACCUUAAUCUUGAGUUAAUAGGGUGGUUACUACUGCCAAUUAGUGGGGCAAUUUUGUAGGGGAAACGGUUAGCAGAGGGCUACCGUCUUCUCUAUAAGAAGUUCUGGAGACGUCCAGGAACACACAUGUACAUGUGAGAGACCCACAAAUUCCUUCCCUUCUCCCUUUUCCAUGUGGUGAAGUGUGCUGUGGUACUGAGCUGCUUGAUCUCGCCGCUCUUCUCCUUGGCAUGCACCGAGGAGGAGGGUGAGCGGUAUCUCCGAGCUAUUGCCGUCAGGAAGCCUGCACGAGGGACAACAAAAAGUUUUUGGGUAGCGCAACUGCCAGCACAACUCUCCCUCCGCCUCUUCUUCACGGUUGAUGGCCACCACAAGCAUAAACCUCGCCUUCGCAUCCACGCAAAAGGGUCGCUGGGGUGCCUUCUUGCAUCGCUUCUCAGCCUCCUUGACUUGCGGCCAGCCAAGAACUGCGCCACCACCUCGGGUGCACGCCACCACUCCAGGGCUGCUACCCCAUGCCUGCGGCCGCCGCCGGCCACCACGCGUGUGCAACCGCGUCGCACCGCUUCCUUGCUUUGUGCCACCACUGCUGCUGUACCACCAGCUCCACCACCUUGGGCUGGUCGCCAGAGUGACUGAUAACUUAUUAUCUGUAACUACUAUUAACUCAGGGAUACAUGCGUCUUUUGCUUCUCCUACUAAUAUGUCCUAAAAUAUCUAGGAUGCCUUAUAUUUCUGGACAGAGGAAGUAUUUGAAUAAAAUGAACCAAUUUAAAAAAAUGUGUUGUACACUACUACAGAAAGACCUAUCAGUGUCAAACCCAAAAAUGUUGUCACCGCCAGUUUUGGGCAUCAUUGGUGAAAGGUUGGCGGUGAUGGGCUUUCCCUUCAACAACGGCACUGGAGCCGACGGUGAUUGACAUUAGAAAACAAAAAAGGGGACCCUACCUAGCCACCCCUGCAACCCGGCCGGCCGUGCCUCCCCUCAUCCCCACCACCUCGCCUCCCCAUGACCCCCCGCCGGCGCCCUUGCGCCUAGCCCCCUCAACUGCCCAGCCGGCCACCCUCAUCACGAGAGAGAGGUGCAUGUUGUAUAAUUGCGUGAAUUUUUUAAUGUUUAAUUUCAUGUAAGUUCCGUGUAAUAAAUUGUACAAGUUUUAUUGUAUAUAUGAAUUCCAUAUAUAUAUAUAUAUAUUUAUAAUUUAAUGUAUGGUUUCAUGUGUAUAUUUCAAUCAUGUGUAUAUUUAGUAGAUUGCCGAUUUUCUUUUUCUACUAGACAAGGGUUGAUGUAUAAUUACGUGUAUAUGUUUAUUGUACGGGCAAUUAGGACAAGUUUUGUAUAAAUUUCUUUUAUUUGAUGGUUGUUGUAUGGUUUCAUGUAUAUACAUUUAUUGUACUACUUUAGACAAUUUUUAAUUUAAUGUUUCUAUGAUUAGAUGUGUGUAUAACUAAUUGUAUUAUUAGUUAAGAUGGGAGCUAAAGAGGAUGAAAGGUAUAUAAUGGAGCAGAUUAUUGCUAGCUCAAACGUUGCAAGAACCUACACCGAGGGUGAGGGUAGCUAGGUGGACAUGUACCUCAACAUGUCCAGUGAUGGCAAUGACGAUGAGGAGCACGAGCAUGACAUCUAUGAUAAUGCGGAACAAGACAUUGCAGAAUUGGAAGGUUCUAAUGAGGUGUGCUUCAUGUUGACAAUCUAGUUGGCUUUUUUUCGUUGGUCACACCUUAGUUACCAUAGAACUUCGUCUCGGGAGAAGAUUGGUGGUGGUAUGGUGAUUGGAAUUUUAUUUCCACGAAAUCUGAUUUCCAUCGAAUCAUAUCCCUUGUAUUUAUCUUCUUUUUAUUUGUGAGAGCAUCUUCUUUAUGCUUGCAAAACAAUUCAAGUGCACAUACUACCCCUAGGGUGACGAUUGGGAGUAGAAAUAAUUGCCAACAAAACAACACCACAUCCUAAGAUUCUUAACUUGUGGCAUAAUUAGUCUAGUAAAAAGAAAGAUAAAAACCUAAUGGGUGUAUGUGAGUGCAAUGUGUAUAUGCAUAUGAGUGGAAGGCAUAUAAGCAAAGACAAUAUUUACACAUAGUUCUAAACACCAUGUUUACAGCUAGGUUGCUGAAUUUCUCCAUAGCCAUAGAGAUUAAUUAACCAAGGUCAAAACACGAUGUCUAUCCCAAGAUCAGUAAUUAUUUAUAGCACAAGAAAAAGAAAGCGCAUUGCAAAGUUUAUAAACCAACCAAUACAGCAUGAAAACAAGAUGAAUAGCUAGCAAGGUUUAUUAAACUGAAUGAUGACGGUCUGUAAGCAAGUUUAAACACCAUCUUUACACAAGAUUGCAAAUGGAAAAUGCCCAUAUGAAGCACUAACAUGGAUAUGAAAUCAUUCAUCAUAAAGCGUAAAGAACAACCAAGCCAACCAUAUGCAAAGCAUGAAUGGAAUGCAAUGAAGGUGCAAGAGAACAUUUUUGGAUGAACACAUUAUGAUGAUGGCAAAAUGCAAUGCAUGCAGAAAAAAUAAAUAUGAACAUGAAUAUGAUGAUCAGGGGCGGACCCACUAUUGUGGCCUGGGUAUUCCUCGGCAUACCCAAUAUUUUUGGGAAAAUGUUUAGUAGUUUUUAAUGGCAUAUACAUGUAUAAUAUAGUUUAGGUGUUAAAAUUGAUAUUCACAGCUAUUUUGGGCUCCAAUUCGCGUCCAAACCAACCUGGCCCACAGACCGCACCCGGCCGCCCGGCCCAUCGGCCCAUCUUGUCACUGAUCCUCCCACCACCACACUCAGCCCGUCAGUUAGUCAGGUCCCGAGCUCCUGCCUGACCUAGUCCGCUACCACCGCCAGGCGCCAGGCACAGCUGUACACGCCGCCCCCGUCCACCCACGUCCGCCGCACGGCCGCGUCGCGCCCCCCCCCGGCGCCCGCUGCUGCCAGAACCCAUUAGGCCUCCACCGGCAAGUCCACCCACAGUCCCGCGCGACGCGGCAGCCUCUUGGCUCUCGGCGCUCGCGGCGCGCCAAUGCCUGCGCAGCCCCAGCAGGCGACUGCCCCCCCCCCCCCCGCAUCGGGCCUCGGCCCCUCCCCAGCUCCCCCUCCCCCCUCCACCAGGACUGCCUGCUGGCCCCCACCGCGAGGUAAUCGAAAUGGACUGCUCAAUCUCUCAAUCUGUUGACAUGAUGCACACGGUUGCAAAAAUAGAUGUGUCAAAAUAGAUGUAUUGCCAAUUGCUAUAGAUGCAUAUGGUUGACAUGAAGAAGUCAAAAAUGACAUUUGGUUCCUUGUAGGCAGUCAAAAAUGAAGAAGUCAAACAAUAUUGAUCUGAAAUCAAUGCGGGAAAGGGCUACGAAGACACACGGGUAGAUUCCCUUGUGAACUUUUUAUGUCGUUCGUCUAAAUAUAUUUUUGCAAUGGGCAUACCCUACUCUGAAAUCCUGGGUCCGCCACUGAUGAUGAUGGUCUAAACAUAAAACAAGCCUAGAUUAAUUAGCUACAACUGAAAUUAAGCAAAGGUUAAUGUCAUUGACCCUAGCUCUAUCCUAGCUUUUACUAAAGUCCCGGCACAUAUAGUGGUUGGGCCCACUCUCUCUACUUCCCUCUCUGCUGCAUGCACACACACGAGCAACUGGAGGCCCAACAAAGCCCAGAAGGGUUCGGCCGAACCCGUCCGAUCCAGUCUGAGCGCCGCUCCCUCCCAGCCUUCGCGCAGAUGCUCCUCCAACGUUCCUUGACCCCUCCCUCAGUGUCCCAUUGGGUUUAACAUUGUAGGAGAGGAGUCCCUUUUUUAAAAUCUCAACCACCUCCUCUCCUCAUUCACUCCACUCUCAUCUCCAUCAAACUCACCAAGAUCCACAUCGGAAAUACCUGCUUACCACCAUGGCUGGCAAAGCCCUCGUCCCUUUCACCAACUUGGGCUUGACCAUUGAUCUCGAUGGGAAAAUCACUCCAGCAAAUGUCAUUGUCCCUGUCGGCGAUCUGGCGAUGGAGGAGGUCCAGGCACUAGAGGUCGAGCCCCUAGCCAUCAUACCGCCCAAGGGGUAAAGCAGGAGCAUGACAGGCGCUGCUAGGGGUUCAGCCGAACUCCCAGUUCAGCCAAACGAGGACGGCGUCGCCUCGGCCUCCCGCUCGACUGCAUGCUUCCCCUUGCCAAGGAGGACUCCAGAACAGCGGGCGCGUGCGUCAAGUCCCUACAAAAGGCUGAAAUACAAUGAAUAUCCAGGGUCACCCUUGAAGAUGGGUGAACGCUACGCCGGGUCCUUGUUUGACUAGUACGGCGAUGCAUUCUGCCACCGCUAUGUCGUUGUCGAGAUUAGCGGAUCAAGACUUAGACUAGUAAAUUUCUUUUAUGCGCGUAAGGCUUCAGAUGGUGGCGUGGGAGACAUGGGUUUUAUACUAGUUCGGGCAAUGGAAUACCCUACGUCCAGUGUCUGGAGCUGCUUGUGUUGCCCACGCGGGGUUCUGUAGUAGGGGUUACAGGUGUGCGAGAGAGGGAGCUAAUCCCAGGUCUCUUAGGCGUGUUCCGGUCCUCUAGAUGGGAGAAGUGUGUUCUGUUUGCUUGGGAGUAUCGGUUGUGUCUGAGUUGUCUCCGGAGCCUCCUCCCGUCUCAGGUCCCCGAUUCUCCUUUCAUAGCACAAGGAGACCAUCGGGGUUACAGACGAGACCGAGCGUGGGGAGGAGUAAAGAGAUAAACAUAGCUAGGUAAAAAUACAACAAGAAAGGGGGGAACCAAGUUUCUAGGUCACCGGCGUCCUCGCCGGCCUUCGACUUCCGCCGGCGCAUUUGUCGGAGGAGGGUGGCCGCCAUCGCGUUCUGUCGAUGGCUUCCUCGGUGACUGUAGCCACCGGGCGUGAUGAUGGCAUUUCGUCGUGACCCUUUGUCUGUUGGGGGAGGCGGCGGAUCCUGCCAUUCUGCUGACGGCUCGCGGAGUGCGAACGUCGCAUCCCUGCCGCUGGGCACGCGGGGCGCGAGAACGUGCGAGGCUUCCCCCUACCCCAGGCGGCGCAGGCCAUGAGUGCCCUGUGGCAAAUCGGAGGAGGCCGCAGCUACUGUAGCUUGUACUGUGCAGCCACGUAUGGGUACUUGUGGCAGGUUGCGUGGUGGAUGCGGAUAUCCUUCUCCCUGACAGAUCUGCGGCGCAUUUAUGGCGAGAUCGACAUGGGGACCCACAAGACCCGCGCCCAAGGCGGAUACUUGUCUGGAGGGCCCGGGUUAGCCUGACCCCCUACGCUUGGGGUCGGGCGAGGCGGAGACUUGCGGCGGGGCGUCGGACGCUCCCGACACUAGACCUGCGGUCGCGCAAGGCGGAGCUUGGUCUUCCGGGGGUCGGGGGUGCCGGACCCCAGGAUGCGGGGUCGGGCGAGGUGGAGCGUAAUUCUUGCCUCCCAUGUUGGGCCGAUGGCAGUCUUUGUUACCUCUAGUGGGCUUGGGCCUUUAUGUUUUGUUGUUUCCAUGGGCUUCGAGAGGUCGUUAAUAUUUCCCCCCAACAGUAGCCCCCGAGCCUGUGGUGGAGUGGGGGCGCUCCUCCGGAGGCUACUAUCAUCGCCCCUAGGGAAUCCUCGCAGUUGAUCCGGGAUAGGAGGUGUUGUUUGCACGGCUUGACCGAGGGGGUCGAUUAGGCGACGCAUCCUGUGAGCGACUCGGUGCGGGAGGGUUUCUUGUUGUUCCCUUCUGUCUGAGAGCCUUAAGUCGAGACCACCUGCGUGGCCUUUGGUUGCAAGGCCAGCCCCCGAGCCCCCGCACGUUGCAGGGGACCGGUCGGAGGCUAGGUCGACUUUUGUUCAUUACCCUCAAGCGUCUGUUCGCUAGGACGGAGGGGGCGAGCCGUGCCAUGCUAUCCUCAUCGGACGAACCAUGGUGCUCAUUGAGUUACUAACGGGUUGAUUCGAGUGGGAUCCCGGUCCCCGUUCGGGGGGGGUCCGGCUUGGGCCAAGCUGGUGGCGUACCCCAGGCUCCGGUCGGCCAGUUCAUAUAGUUCCUGAGUCCGUUCGGUCGGACCGGGGGCUCAUUGCCUUUCUUCGGGGAAAAACCAUGAACUUUGAUGCCGGUCCAGACUCGAAUGUGAGAUUGAGACGCCCGGGGCUGUCGCGUGCCCGGGUGAUGGCCGCUAGCGGACCCGUCUCCUCUCACCCCUCACUCGGGGGUAUCCUGAGGCGGCUGUCGAACCCGUGGCGGGCCAGCCUUCGAACCUCUGGAUCGUAAUGGGCCGUAGGGGCGUUUUCAGCCCCGUAUCCCUUUUUACCUUUUGGUGGGCCUUGGGCCGAAUCAUGGAGGAGGUCGGGCCUUGGGCCGGAUGCGGAGGAUGUCGUGCCUUGGGCCGGAUGUGGGGGACGUCGUGCGUGUCUUCCGGGAGACGAAGUGGUGGAGGGUGCCAACCCGCGAAUCGAGGGAGGAGGGGAUGUUUCUACUGCAGGUCAUGCGCACGGUUUCCGAAAAGGCAGCGGGCGUGACGGGACGUACCUCGCGCCGCAUUUAUUGCGAUGGGGGCGUCUGUUCUGCUUCCCUCGUGCCUUCCCUAUAAAACGAGGACUUCGCCUCGCCGGUUCCGCCCGCCAUCUACCUUCAAGCCUUUUCGCCUCCUCGCGCGCCCUUAGCUUUCCUGUGCCCGCUUCGUCUUCCUCCGCCCAGUGCCGCGCCCUUUCUCCCCAUCCGCCGUCGAGUUCUUCUCCCUCCGGCGAUGGGAUCCUGGGCGCGUUCCCACUUCGGCCCCUCACGCGCCGAAGGCCUAGUGAGGAAAGGCCUCCUUUGCGAGAGGACGGAGACGGAUGAGUGGGGGUUCCCUGAGAUGGAAGAGGUGCCGACUCCGCCCACCGGCUACGUCGUUUCCUUUGCCCACUUCCACGAGAGGGGGUUUGCGACUCCGCCGAGCCUCUUCUUCCGCGGGCUUUUGUAUUACUACGGGCUUGAGCUGCAGCACCUCAACCCCAACGGGAUUCAGCACGUCGCGGCGUUCGUUGCGGUGUGCGAGGGGUUCCUGGGCAUUGAGCCCAACUUCUCGCUGUGGAAGUACUUCUUCACGGUCAGCCUAUACCAGAAGGCCGAGAAGAGGGGAAGCCAGCAGCGGUCGACCCCGGUGCCGAUAGGGUGCGUCGGAAUCCACCUCUGCCAUACUCGCGCCAAGGAGUAUAUCGCGAUGAAGACCGCGGCAUCCCACAAGGGGUGGCACCAGCAAUGGUUCUACGUGAAGAACUACUCCAACCCCCCCUGCCGGAGUUCACCGGCCGCAUUAUUGAAGCGGCGCCGGAGGUGUGGGUGUACGGCCCGGUGGAGAAGGAGAAGAAGCGGAUCACCGGCCUGCUGCAGGCCAUCGAGCACCUGAAGGAGAGGGGACUGACCGGAGCCGGAGUCAUCGGGGCGUACCACGCCCGGCGGGUGGCGCCGCUGAUGCUCCGGGUCCGCUCGCUCGCCGACAUGACCCCCGGUGCUCUCACCGAUGGCACUGUCCUCGCGACGGGUGCUCUCGCUGCCUCCGAGAUCCGGCAGCGGAUCCGGGAGGCGCUGGAGGACAAGGACGCCGAUUACCCGGUGCCCGGCCACCCUCCGAUGCGCCCGGACGAGAAUUUCAUUGAUCUGGUAAGGAUUUUGCGCGCCAGUUUCCCUCUCUUGCGUUUCUUGGUAUGCCGUUCUGACGCGAGGCCCUCUGUGUUUGCAGGGUAGCAUGACCCGGGUCGUCGACUUGCGUCCGCCAGUGUCGGAGGACGCCGAGUGGCGGUAGCAGAACCGUCUCCUUGCCGAGAAGCAAAAGUGACGCAAGGACAAGAGACAGCGAAGAAGAAGAAGAGGGCCGCCAAGGAGUUCCAGCGGCGGCGGUGGGGAUAGGUCGUGUCGGAUGACGAUGACGAUGAGAAGGAGGAGGAGGAUGACGAGGAGGAGGAGGAGUUUAUCCUGUCCCCCCGGUCAGGGGCGCUUGUUAUCCGGGAGCCGCGCUCCCAAGCGGCCAUGGGGGACAAGGCGGGCGAGCUGCCUGCCCGGACCCGAUCCUGCGAAGCUUUGGGGGCGCGCCCCAGGGGUCGGCGCAGAGCGCCCCCCGGGGGUCGACGGAGCCGACCCCCAUCCCUACACCUGCAGCCCAGGAGCAGAGGAGCAGCGACAAGCGGCCGUUGCCAGAUGCCCCGGGGUCGGCGUCCAGCUCAGAGGCGAAGCGCGCGCGCCGCCCUUGCGCUGGGGGAACGUGAGUUGAAUUUCCUUGCGAAUCUCGUUCCUUUCCAUGCAUUGUGUUUGUUUCCGCUGAUGCUGUUUGUUGUCUCACAGCACCGCCCCUCAAGGCCUUGUCCCGCCGUUGGCGCCAAAGAAGGCGUUGCGGUGUUGUCGCCUCUGCGGGGCGGACCGCGGCUCCGCCGGCGGCGAGUGGCGGGGUCACUGGUGAGACCGCGGGUCCUACCGCGGAGGUGGCCCCUGCGGCGGCAACCGGUGGAGUGGUGCCACCGCCGGGCAUGGGACAGGGUCUGGACCCCGCUCCGUCCUCCGCCUCUUCGGCCGACCCCGCGGUGCAGAGUAUCGCUCCUGGGGGCCCUCAGGCCGGGGAGGUGAUUGACCUCGACGCCGACGAGGUGGAGGAGACGGCGGCGGUGGAGACGGGGGCGGUUGCCCCAGCGGCCAUGACGGGGACGACGACGGCGACGGGGGAAGGAGAGUCUACCCCCGCGGCCACGGCGGGGACAGUGGCGACAGAGGAGGCGGGGACGCCCGCCCCGGCGGCUGCGACGGAGGAGGCGGCGGUGACGGAGACGGGGGCUUCCGCCCGGGAAGCCACAGCCGAGGUGGCAGCGGCGACGGAGGUGAAAGUGCCUGUUCUGGAGGCCACGGUGGGGGUGGGGACGCCUGCCUCGUGGCCACGACGGAGGGCGAGGCGGCCCCAGGGACACUUGCUCCGGCACCCGCGUUGGAGGCGGUGGCGCCGACGGGUUGGCCCGUGGCGGCCUCGACGGGGGCGGGGGUGCGUGCGCCGGGACCGUCGGUGAGGCCGGCGACUUCCGGGAUGGUGGUGCCCGUCUUGACGGCGGCGGCGGCGCGGUCGGCCCCCGCCCUUGCCUCUACCACUCCCAUUCCCAAGGCGUGGAGCGGAUCCGUCCUGCGUUGGUCGUCUCGUGACGACCCGCAGAGGCCCCUCUUCACGUUGGAUGAUGCCACAGAAUGGGGCAAGUGGCAGGCGCUGCAGGGCGGACUCGCUAACGUCCGCGCCGCUCUAUCUUCGGCGUUGGGGGAGCUGGACGGCGUCAUCUUCCCCGGUGGCCGGGUAUGGUGCUUUCUCCGUUGGUUAUUUUCUUCCCGUUACUUCGUCCCUGAUGGCACAUUGUUCUGCAGGCCCUCCAAGAAUGUAGCCGGGGAAAAUCUGAUUUCCUUUGGCUCGAGCAGGGGCUCUGGGAGCGCUUCAACUUGGAGUUGCAGCGGACCGGGGAGCUGACCAUGCAAGUCGCCACCGUCUAGCAUGUCAUCGACGAUCUGCGAAGGCACGAGCAGGCGGCACAGGAGGACGCGCGGCGGGCGGAGGCCAAGUUCCAGGUCGUUGCCGAAAGGGCUCGCUGCGACCGCGAGGAGUUCCAGGCCGUUGCCGAAAAGGCCCGCCACGACGCUGAGGAGCUCGCACGGCUGAAGGUGCAGCAUGAAGCUCUUCAGAAGAGCGGCAGAGGGCCUGGCAGGACCGGGACGCCGAGAAGGUCCGGAAGGAGGAGGCUGAGAAGGUGGCGGCCAACCUUGGGGCUGAGGUCAGCCAGCUCCAAGUGCAAGCGCGAGAGCUUCAGGCCUCCGUGGCCCAGGGGCUCGACCAGGAGCGCCAGCUGAAGGCCUAAUCCGAGGGUAUGACUCUGUUUAUUUCUUUGUCUUUGUGAUGUUGCGGUGAUAUUUUAUUUGGCGGGUUCUUCUGGAUGAUCCUUGCAGAUGAGCUCAACUGGCUGAGGGAGGUGCUUGACGCGGAGCGCGCUGAGCACGGCGACCUGCGGGACGCGGUCCGCGUCAUCUGUGACUUCCUUAGUGUGGUCCAGGGGGAGGGGACGAGCUCGCUGGCGGCUCGUGUCCUCGGGACGUACCGCCGGACCAGCGAGAUCGCCCUGGAAGCGCUUCGCACCGGCUUGAGGCAAGCCUUUGGGGUCUUCGGCUCCCACUAUUCCGGCAUCAACUUCGCCGGGAUGAGCGGGGGAUACGCCACCGGCUACUACGAGGCCGAGCUGGAUGAGAUCGACGUGUCGGUGCUCAGCCCGGCGGAGGCCUUGGUGAAGCUCCUCGAGGAUGAGGCCGUCCCGCCCGAAGAUCCCCGGACGAGUUAACUAUAUCGGGCUGGCGCCCCAGAUGUAAAUACGUUAGGGAAAGACUUGUUUUUUGUGAGGGCCGUAGAGGCCUUUUCUAUGAAUUGUCGUAAAAAAGUUUUUGAUUCCCUUUCUUGCUUUUUGGACUUGGAAAGUUUAGAGCACGUUGUCGGGCGUGUCAGUAAGCUUUGAUGAGCGAAGGCACCGUAGCCGCUGGGGCGUCGUUUUUUUUGCAGUCCGAUCAAUCUUGCCUGAACACCGUUCGUGCACUUUCUCCUUUUUAUGCCCAAAAGUUCAGAAAGAGGGUCGGCUCGGAAAGAGAAAGCGUUUUGAGAGGGUGUCAAGUGGCUUAGGUACUUGCGGCAGGUUGCGUGGUGGACGCGGAUAUCCUUCUCCCUGACAGAUCUGCGGCGCAUUUAUGGUGAGAUCAACAUGGGGACCCACAAGACCCGCGCCCAAGGCGGAUACUUGUCUGGAGGGCCCGGGUUAGCCCGACCCCCUACGCUUGGGGUCAGGCGAGGCGGAGACUUGCGGCGGGGGGUUGGACGCUCCUGACCCUAGACCUGCGGUCGGGCGAGGCGGAGCUUGGUCUUCCAGGGGUCGGGGGCGCCUUACCCCGGGAUGCGGGGUCGGGCGAGGCGGAGCGUAAUUCUUGCCUCCCAUGUUGGGCCGACGGCAAUCUUUGUUACCUUGGGUGGGCCUGGGCCUUUAUGUUUUGUUGUUUCCAUGGGCUUCGAGAGGUCGUUAAUAUUUCCCCCCAACACUAUGAGGAGGACUUGUGGGCAGAAAGUCAGCUACCACAAACUUGCCUCUGAAUAUUUGGAGUGCAAACAUUGGAUGGUGGUUGUGGAGAGCCCCAGCCAUACCUCGCACCCGUGGAGAGGUAAUUGUCGGAUUGCUUGGUUCGUCUCUAGAAUGCGACAAGGUCAGGCGCCACCUCUCACUGCUGCCAGUCAGAAGGCCGAGGGGCCAGUUUCAACAUAGUAAUGAGAAUCUCCGAAGGCCAAUAUGGUUAAGCAGCUAACCUCCAUGAUCAUAGACUUACGUUUAGAAAAUAGGAGGCUUAGCGAUGCGUUAACAGAGCAGAAGUUAGAAACAGAAGAACUUAAGGACGACUUCCGUGUCCUCCGCCUUGGUCUUUGUGCUAAGAUAAAGCGCUUGUACAAUGCCACGGGGAAUGACGGUCUCUACGAUGCAGCUCAAUAGACGUGCCCCUUGUAUCCUUUCCUUUAGGCACUUUAGAAUAUGUUUAUUUGUUUUCCUUCAUUUUAAUUUCCAAUAGAUUGUUAGCGCCUCCAAUUUAAUUUCAAUAAAGUGUAGACUCACCGGUCAUCCAACUUGAUGGAGUCCUUUUGUCACCUAGUUGUCUUUGGAAGAAGUAGCUGGGUACAAAAUAAGUGUGGGGGAGAGCCACAGACUCUCUAGAGCUGAAACAAUGCACAACACCCACAAAUAGAGAAAACCACGCUGCACCAGCACGUACGUGAAAGUGGAGCCAGAGCUGGACCCAUAGGGGUUUGGCCAACCCAAGGGGUGGCCCACUCGGGCCAUCUUCAUCCACCGCGUCGGUUUGUGUCUCUUUACCCCUGAUCUCCCUGAUUCAUGAGUUUGAAUGAAUUUUAAAUCUGAUCAACUAAUUCAAACUCAACUAAAAUGAAUCAACUGCUCCACCUGCUCUACAUGUUUUCUAUGGUUGGCUUGCAUAUGUUUUAUUUCAUGCUUAUCAUCUUGAUGCUUGUGAACAAAUAUCUUUAGGACAGCAUGCUCAUCUAAGUAGUUGAUGUGUAUGAUAUGGUUCGAUGAUAUGAUCUUCACUCUUAAUGCUUAAGUGCUUGGGAAAAUCUAUUUGAAAAUUUAAAAGCCUUUUUGAAAUCUCCUCUUUGAUGUGCCAAAGUCCUACCAAAGCCAUAUGAUAAGUUAUCUUGAAAAACCAUUUGCAUAUGUUGCUUGUCUUUGCAUUGAGCUUUGUCAAAUUGGUGUGACCCUUGUCACAAUUCUUUUCAUACUUUCAUGAUCAAGACUCAUGUGCACGCCAUAUACCCCUUGCUAUGCUUCUAUGAGAUGUUAGCAUUGUACCAUCCAUUCAUUCCACAAAAUAAAUGCUCCACCAUAUGUGUUGGUCUCCUUCUAAGAUUAUUGUUACAAAAGAGAUAUGGGCUAUCAAAAAAAAAUAUGAAUGUCCAAGAAAGUUGGACACAUGAAUGUCCAAUAAAAAGAAAAAGAAAGAUAGCCAUGUCCUCAGAAAUAUUUACAAAGGGAGAGAGAUCAUACAAAAAGGAGUUUCCAUUCCAUCCACCACAUCCAUACAUGUGCACAUCUUGAUCUGAUUGUAUGACUUAUUUUUCUCUUUGGAUCUGGUCUUUGACUUUGCAAUAUAUGUGAUGCAAGCAUGCCUUAUCCUUCAUAGCCUACCUUGAGCUCCACAUAUAGCCAUCAUUAGAAGUAGGAUGAAGAAAGGCAAGUCUAAUGCCUUGGUGAGGACAUAUACACAUUGAGUGAUCUGAGAGAAUCAAAUGAGGAGCUAAGCAAGGUUUUGUUUUGAAAACUAAUUGAAAAAUCCCAAGCUACUUGGCAUAAGGAGUUGAGGUGACUUGAUUCAAGACCAUUACAUUCCUCAACUACCCAAGAUGGCAUGAUAGACACUCCAAAGUUCACAAGUGCAGGUAUGGUUUGGAAUAUCUUUUAGGCUCGCUUCAUACCUUUGAAAGUUAUGUUUCACCUUAGUCCUUUCUCGUUCACUCAAGGAUAAGCAAAGGCUAAGUGUGGGGGUGUUGUUGAUGGCUCUUAAGUACAAAAUCUGCGCCAUCAACUCUUGCAUAAACACAUAAAAUAUGAGCAUCAACAAUAGUGGUAGGAGUUAUUACAAACGAAUUCCACAAGUCUUGGUGAAUAUUUGUAUGCAAGCCCAAUAGGAGAGAAAAGACACCUCAAAAGCAAGGAAACACACUCUCAACCAAUCAAGAGCAAGCACAUGGAACCAUGGGCCCACAACCAAAAGGAAAUCGACUACAUUCCAAACACCCUAUACCCACAUGAGAACCCAUAGGGCAGUGACCCAGAGCAAAGGUGAUGCCAGAGUGUAGAUGGUAGUUAGCAUGCCAAAUUUUGAACCGCAAGCGCUCGGAUUAGUUGUUUCUUUUCCCUUAGAGAUUCCCCCAAGGUUUAUCAAUCCAUGGAACAAGGGAUUUGCACGUUUCACUAAGCACUAAUCAAUGUAAUUGAAAGCUUUUCGAAUAAGAUAUGAUUAUGCUAACAAAGGAACUAAGCAAUCUAGAUUAAGAUGGAUAGAGAGUACAGGUUGUGAACAAGAUAGAUUAAACGCUUGUAGAUGCAAUCACCAUGCAUGAAUGAAUUAGAUCUAGGUGUUAUUGUGAGUGGUUGUGAACCAUGCCCAACACUUUCCCACCCGCAACAUUGUCACUACAUGUGGGUACUCAACUAUCGGAACAUAAGAACACAUCAAGAUGAUCAUUCUAGGUAAGCAAAUAAGCAACCCAAAGUAGCGCUGGCCAGCCUUUUCAUGAAAGAGCAUCAUCAAGAUAAGAUUGAUAACAAAAUAGAUCUCAACCAAAGGUUCAGCGAUUACAAAUCAAGAUCUUCGUAUAACCCCGAUGACAAAUAGAGGUAUUACCCCCAUGAUCUUACACAUGUUGAUGAAUUUUAGGGUAAAGGACACCCUGUAGAUCAACUGGACCAAAGAUGAUGAUGAACGGGGGCAGGGAAGGCCCAGGUUGAUCAGCCUGCGCACUUUUGAGCCGAUCAGCUCAGGGGGUUUCCUCCUCCCCUGGUGCUCCUCUUCGCGUGGCCUCCUCUGGAUCCAAUCUUCUCUUCAUUUCUCCUACUUGUGGCGGCAAUGGAUGGUGUUUGCAUGGUGAUUUCCUCUUCUCCCCAACUCUCCCUCCUUGAAGUCCAUGAGGGGGUAUUAAUAGUCUCCAAUAGGCGGCAGCUCUGGGUCAAUGUCAGUGAAAAAAUCCUAGAGAUCAUCGUACACUUCAUGCUGAGGAAACAAGAGGUUGACCGAGCCCUGGGAUAGACCAAGAGGAUCAUCCUAGAGGGUCCCAGGCUAAUCGGUCUAGGCCCUUCCUAGCCCUUCUAGUCCUCUCCUUCCUCGUGCUGGCUUUUCUCGAUGACCCUUGUCCAAAUAUCCAUGAAGCUCUAUAUACAUACCCCCUUGAUUAUGUUGUAUUUCCUGUCAAAAUACAAUGCUCCAAAAUACAACACAUAUGCAAUAAUAGGGUUAUUUCAGGUGCCAAUUGGUGGGUUAGUAUACGAAUAAGCAUGAAAAUACUGUUUAAAUGACACUAAAAGUGUGUCAAUAACGAGCACCAACAAUCCCCCCACGCUUAGAUCUUGCUCGUCCUCGAGCAAGUCUAGCGACUAAAAGAUCUUGAAUUAAACCUGAGCAAGCGAGUCAAGUACCUAGCCUUGAAACAAAAGAUUAGAGGAGCAGCAAAGAUAAUCAAAGUCUGGGUGUUCAAAGAUUUAUCUAAGCAAAGAUUCCCCUACAACUAUUAUUCAGAACCAAGUAACUUCAAAAAUCAACUACACUUAUUUUCUGGCUUUUUUCAGAGGGUUUUUCUUUCAUCAUAAAACAAUCUCCCUGCAACAAAAUUGAAAAAAGAAUUAUUUUCAAGGUGCUUACAUGUCGCUUAAAUGAAUGUUGGCUAUCCUACUUAUUUGCAAGCUCUCAUCUCUCAAAAUUCAUUCAAUUAUAUGGUGGAGUUUGGGUAAGGUUAGCUAGAAUCAACACGUAUAUUAUUGAAUUAAGAAAACCCUCUAACGGUGGCCUACCUUCCGAGCCAUUGAUCAUAAGAAUAUCCACAUAAUGUGAAGUUUUCAAGGAUGAGAAGAUAUAGAAUGGUGGACAUGUGCAAAGGCAAAGAAAUAUAGUGACUCUGAGGCACAAGCAAUGUCCUCGUCGUUGGAUUGCAUAUGGUUGUAAUGAAAAUAUGUUCCUUAAACAAGUCUAUCUUUUCUUUGCACCACUCUUGAUCUUCAUGACAGUAAAAACUCCUCCUUUAUUUCUUUCUCUCUUUUCCUAUUAUUUCUUUUUAUUUGUCUCAAUACUUUUAUUUCUUUAUUUCUUUAUUUUAAUCUCUUCUCUGAACCUCUUCUGAACACCACAUAAUAAAAAUAAGUUUUAGAUCCUUCCAGAGACCUUCCAGGAAUUUGCUACAUGAAAACCGAGGCAAGGAGACCCCAGGCCGAUUGGCCUAGCCACUCCUUUGCUCUCCUCUAGCUCUUCUUUCUGGUGAAGCUUCCUUAUCUUGUAUCUUUCCAAAAAUUUCAUAAAGCUCGACUAGAAACGGAACAGAUCUUCAUAUAAUGAGUUGUGUUCAAGGAAUUGGUAAUAAAAUUGAGAAAUUUGUGGUUCGGGUUUACGAAUUCAGUACAAAAAUAUGAUUGUUCCAAUGAAGAACUCUCAUUACUGAAUAUUGACGAGGCAAGCAUUCAAAGAUGGUAAAAAGGAUAUGAUCAAUUCUCAAAAUUAAAGCAAACCAAGAGAGAGCGAUCCUAAUUCAAUUCAAAGUGUCAAAUGUUGCUUAUGGUGGUAUGAAUAAAUAUUUUUAGGCAUUGGGUAGGAUAAAUAAAAACUCUCAACCUGGUUAAAAGAUAUUGAUCAAUCUUGUUUUUGCAGAGGUUUUAAAUAAAAAAUAAAAUUUUAAAUCACCUCCAAUUCAAAGCCUUACUCAUAAAUCAUAAUCAAAACUGAAGCACUUGAUCAUCAUAAAGCAUGGGUAUUGCAUAAACAAAUCGAUUACUAAAACUCCACAACUACGAUUUAGAAUUCAAGACAAUGCUCAUAAUCUAAAGUUGCAAAGAUAAAAUAAAAGACAACCAAGCCAAGGUAGACACUAAAAACACUUGCACGAUCCUUGAAUUUUAUUCAUGCUUCUUCUCACAAAGACGCUAAAGUAGCCAUGUAGGCCUAAGUCUUCCCAAAAGCUUAAGAAAACUACUACUUUAUCUACUUUUGGUUGAAAUAAAAAGACUAAUCUAGACUCUCACAUGAUUCGACUCGACCAAAUUAGAUCCAAAAACUCAUACGAGCGACGAUCUCCCCCCCCUCACGCUUAAAAUCUACGACCUCCUCGUCGUAGCCAUAUGGAGUACAAGGAAAAGAAGCUUGUAAACGCUCUAAUGACGCUACCCGCACUACUUGCACACGGGAUGGUUGCUGCUUCCUUCGCUUUGUUCUUCCUCAUGUUGCUGCACAUCCCGAAGAGCUUCCUCACGUUCCUCUGCAAGAACUUGAACUCGUCCUCCUGACGGCGAUCAUUAUCUUCUGCCUUUUGAUCCAGAGCUUGUAAGGCUUGCAUGAUGUCAUCGAACGCAUCGAAGAGGUAGUGGAUGUUCUUCCUGCAAGCUGUGGAACAUGUACGAUCAUGCUCCUCCGAUUCUGGCCCGUCGUCUUCUAGAUCCUUCUCUUUGCCCUUGUCUUGACGGUGGCUAUCUUGCUCCUUGCUCGCCUUCUUGCCUUCAGCCCAAUCCCAGUACGUGUUGUCAUCUUCUUCAUCGUCACGGCCUGCAGCACCCUAUGAUCCAUUGUCUAUCUUGUAUGAAAGAAUCAGAAGCUUGUUCUCCUCAGGGUGUCUUGCGCGGUGCAGCGUUUGCAAGUGCAAGACUUGCUAGUUCCUUUUACACAUUGUAAUGUUCAUUGCAUGCUCUAAUUGUUCUACAUUUGUAAUUUCUUGGUGAAGUUUGGUUACUGAUCCACUGUUUGAUUAACUCUUGGGCCCAAACACUGUACUACUUCUGAUUAGAUAUCUGUAUCUUGACUUUGACCAAAAAAAAUAUCCGGCAGUUUUUGCCAUUAAAGUUUCAUAAAUCAUCUUGCAAAAAUCGUACUAUACAACAAGGGACGGUUUAUUAUAAAAUAUACGUUCCCCUUAUCACAUGCCACUUCCACUCAAAAGGCAACGAAUCAGUUUUCAAUCCUGAGUGAGCAAUUUGCUUUUAUUACCGAUGCCUCCUAUUCCCUUGUGCACCAAGUUUAUUUUGGAUAGGGCUGCAAAAAACGACUAACCAGCUCGGAUUCUCCACCUGCAAAACCGCAUCUGCAGCAACCAACCCCACGCGGUGGAAAAAAAAACAAAACCUAGAAACCGGACGGGGGUGGAUGUGGGGCUCGGAGCCCAAGCAAAAAACGGAUCGGGAGCGCCGGAGCAGGCCAUCACCGGAUGUUAGAGAUAGAAAAUGGUUGAAGUUUGGAGUGGAAAUCAAACAAGCCUUGGAGCAAAGGAAAAAAAAAGAUCAAACCACUCAAGCAUUCAUUUGAUUUAGAAAAGAGAACAUUUGUUAAGGUGGGGAGUUGAAAUCAUCUUUUAAUUAGUUCCACGUAUCUGGUAUCAUUACAGUUGGUUUACUUGUGUAAGUAUAAGUAGCUCUGCCGAAGCCUUUGCUCCUAUAAUUUAGUAACUAGUACAAAUGGAUCAAUAGGAAAAUCAAGUUGCAAUCAUUUCUCAGCCAACCAAACCUAUGUAAAUCAAAUUAUUGUCCAUGCCCGGCAUGCACAGGUGCCUGCCAUGCAUGCAUUGUUGCUCCAUUGUAAUAACCAUUAUUGUCCAUCGAUGUUGCAGCGCAUGUGUGCACUGUGCAGACACCAAGCAUCGAGAUUAUGUACUAGUAAGGUGUUGAAAUAAUGGGCCUAGCCCAUAAGUAAUUUCAGAAUUUCAAAUAAAUCUCAAAGGCCCAUGUGGGCAAGAGGUGGAGUGGUGCAAGUCUUUAGUCCCACAUUGCUAGUCGAGGGGAGGGAUGACCAACUUAAAUAUGGAAGUUGUCUCCACUCCUCCAAGCUAUGUGUGAAGGGCGCGGGCGCGAGGCACUUGCGUGAAUGGUCCGCCGAAAUCUGGCCCCCCUUGCGGGGGCGCGGCUUCCUUUUGCCGUUUUAUUUUUUGGUUACUUGGUCGUUAAGUCAUGGAAUCCUAACCGGUUUAGAUCACGAUCGUGAAGGUUUUUGGGAAGCGCUCUGCGCGACUGCUCGAUCGCUUCUUCCGCUUCGUCAAGUUCUUCGUCGACUCCUUCACCACGGCUCGUCUACCUCUUCGUCGCUCGGGCCUCACUCGUCGUCGCGAACAACGUCAGGCUGCUGAUCGUCGUCGCCUGCUGUAUCCGGUAGUCGUCCAGGAGCCGGUUUUCAUCAAGAAAGAAACGUACGGUCUCUUAACUCACAUUAUGUCUUCCAUACUAGCUAUUAUGAUUGUUGCAGUCUGAUAGCUCUGGAUAGUAUGGUAGAAUGUCUGAUUCUAUUUGCAAUGAUAGACUUGUCUAGAUCUUGCGUAGACAUGUCUAGUUUAAUCUGCUGCUUGUUCAUCAUAUUCAUGAUUUAUUUCUGGAUUAAGUUAAAACUAAAAGUGCUUAUAUAUCCAACAUAAGGUACCAAGAACACGUGAAGCACCCGGGGGAGGCUGCUCCACUCCGCAUGCACAGGUGGGCACGGCACCACUACUCGUCUCCUUCAGGCUGAGGAUAAGUGAUGUACGCUGAUCAACAGACCACGACGGAACCAGCAAUAAUAGUUUCAGCCUGCCUCACAGUAAUUAAUAUAUCCUGUAUCCUCCGAGGACCCCUCCCCUUAAUCUUGGCCUAUUGCAUCCAAUAAUGAUAUGUGUGUUUAUCCAAAUUUACGGCACCUUUGGCGGGGGUUCCACCCAGCUCCGCCCUCUCCACCUUCGGUACUCCAUGGGAAACCAUUCCUUUGGAAUCAAGGAAGCUUGAACAGUAUAACGAAUAAAGUUUCAUAUAUCCAUUUGAUUUCACAUGAAAUAAAAUAUUCUGUCAGAACCAAUGGUUUCACUGAAGCUCCAGGCAGCGAGCGAAGGGGUGAGAGAGGAUAACGCUUACUGUGUGUUACCAUCGCGUGCACCAUGGAUGACCAACGCGCAGCCGAGAUGAAACGGCGGACCUAAACAGGUCCUCGCUAUUUUUGCAGGUUCUCGACCAGGCCAGUUCUUUAGGCCAACCUAUCAUUCACGAGUUAAACAUACGGUGGCUGGAGAAAUGUUCUAUUCUUUUAAACAAUACCAGCUGGUUCCUCCGUUUUUAUUCCACCAAUACAAGCACCACCUUGUAACAUUUCCUAUGUUUUUUUUCCUUUCGUCUGUUUUCUCACUACAUGCGUUGCUCUUUCAUGCAUUUUUUUCCAUUCCUGUAUUCCAAAUAGGUCUACAUGAACACAAAAUGAACUAGGGGACAGAAAAAGCCAGUGAAGUUAGUUUUGAGCUUCACCAGCUACUUGCUACAUAAAGUGUGCUAUAGUCGCAGAAAAGCUAAGCUGGAUCAGACGUGGCCGAAACAAUGCCAAAGAGCUAGGUCCCUAGCUGAUGGCAACACAUCAGAUGACUAGCCUGCUUUUCUGUAAUAAUGAUAUUGAGCAAUACACUGCAUGGCUAACCUGCUUUACAAUAAUUGUCAUUUUAUAAUAUUGGUCAUCACGAGAGAUGCACAUUGCAUACACCGGCCCAUCCCUAUAAAUAGCCAAGCCUUUCAGCCAUCUUGGGCACCUCCUCUCAGGGCCUCGUCUCACCAUCAGACAUCUCGUUCCCAGUUAUAAUUUGCGAGGUUAGAUCAGGCUGCGCCAUGGCGUCCGCAACUGCUGUCAAGAUCGUCGCCACCUUCAUGCUGGUGCUGACCAUGGGCCACCUGAUGGCCGAAGCAUCACCGCAGCCUCGGCGUGUGCUUGCAGAAACGGAGCAUGCUGCGGUGUCCGGGAAUCCUGGCCUCCCAGGUGAUGCUAGCGUCAUGCAGGUCCUCGAACCCGCCCUAGUUUCUCGGCUUGCCUGCAAACCAGAGUGCACAGUCCCUUGGCCUCCUUUUGUAUGUAUCUGCUAGAUCCUCUUCCUGGCUCAACGGAACUUCAGGGAAAUGGCUGUGACGUCGGCCAAAGAAUAAAUUGGAUGAACAUAAUAUACCCCGGGUAGUGUAGCUUGGGCUUUUGUUGAGCGUCUGGUGCUAGUUGUAUUUUGUUUGCUCAUGUGGCUUUGCUUCUGGUUGCAUAUUGGCUUUCCUAUCGCUCUCUGUUGCAGCUAUGGUUUCUGCCAGGUGUGUGUUAAUGCGGUUUGUAAGCGGUGCUUGUUCCUACCUUCUGUUUUCAAUAAAAGAAGUCGGAGUCUCCCUCCGACUCUUGUUAUCAGUCAACAAAAAUGAGUUGUAUCAUAUAUAUCUGCGUCUUUUUUCUACGUAUCUUUGGGCUGCUUCAGCUGGAAGUUUAUCGUAAGUACGUGUAUCAGGAUGAUCGUUUGAAUUAAAACGAAAUGAUAAUGUGUGGCUGCUAGAAAUGGAAUGAGCAUCUUACUAUAUUACUAAUUGGAAGCCUCCACGUGAAGCCACCUAGAAAUUCUAGGUGGACGUUUUAAAAAAAACAAAACUCAUAGAAGCCUCCACCACCUAGGAAUCCUAGGUGGACACUCUAAAAAGAGACAAAUCCUAGAAAUUCUAAAAAAAGAAAAAAAUAAUAACAAUAAGAUUUUUUUGCAGUCAAUUACAUAUAUUUUUUUGAGACACCGUGCUGCUAGCUCUUGCCAUUGCGACCAGUAAAGCAAGCAGAUAGUAAGAUGACAUGCGUGUGGAUUGAUUAAAACAAAUUCAGUUAGUUGAUUCUAAAUCGUAUGUAUCCUAAAAGGAAGAUAUGUGCGUGCAUGGUCCCUAGCGAUGACAUGUAGACAUGUAUUGCAAUUUCUUUUUUAAAAAACAUGUCUAUCUCUAAACCAACAAACAGAAAAAAUAUCAAUCUAAAUCUAAAUCUCUUCCGUUCUCACACGCCUAUUAAAGAGAAGACAACCAAUCCCAUCCAUGUUCCAUAGAAUCCAUCUAAAAGCUUGCUCACUGCGGACGGCAUUUGACGGCAAAUCAAUGAAAGAUCAUCCUCUCCAAAUAGCUGGACGGCAUCACCAUCUUUAUCUCACCAACCUACAGAGCUACAACGAUGUUGUAGAGAUCAACUAGGUAACCUACCAAUCACCCUCCCCUUUUCUAUAUGCUCUAAAGAACACGUGGAGUAAUUAUAGGCCUAUAGGAGCCGACUAACCUAGAUUAAUAUGAAAAAUAUUCCAAUAUUAAAAGCAAGCAGAUAGUAAUACUUGCCUUUGACCAUUUUUCUAGAACUGUUAUUCCUAUUGAAUGUUCAAGUGCUACGGCCAGGCAUCGAAUGCCUGCACGGAACCUUCCUAUUGAAUGGUUACUCUAGAGAUCAACGCACCGCGAGACAUUUUUAUGGAAUUUGUUUGAUUCCCCUUCUACAAUUAGAUUAAUUUUUCAUGGCAUAUAUUACUACUAUUAAAUUAUUUGUUUAUUGUCGGGCCUGCUGCAUGUGUGGUAUAUAUGACUUGCUUCUCACCAUUGUUCUCAAACUAUUAUUCCUAUCGAAUCUUUCUAUCGAAAUAUAUUUUAAUUACUUGAUUGUUGUUUGUGUACCAUAACUUCUGUAUAGAAAAAUUCCAUGUUUGUAGAUAAUGUCUUUUGUAUAGAAAAAUAGCCCAAUUAGAUCCAUCACCAUCUUUUGCUUAUGUAGUUGAACAAGUUGCAAUGUUGAACAAAACUUUAAGUGAAAUUAGACCAGGAAAAGGAAUUGUGGAACAUUAAGGCAAGGGUAACCAGAUUGUGGAAUGCAACCUUACUCAGUAGUGGCGAACAAUUAAGUCUUGACAUGAUCCUUAUUGAUCAAAAGGUAUGAUAGAUGUUCACUUUGAUUGCAUUAUUGGUAUAAUUUUUGGUUUACAAAUUAUUAAUGAUGAUGCAAAAUUAGGGAACCAUGAUCCACGGUGUUAUCAAUAAGCCCUAUAUGAAAAAGUUCAAACCAUUGAUUGAAGAAGGCAAUGUGUACAUAAUUGCAAAUGUCAGAAUCACACCAGAACCACAGAAGUAUCGGCCAGUGGAAAAUGACAGGAUAGUCAACUUCUUACCCACAACUGCACUAAAAACGAUCAAAGAUACUGAAGACAUUCCAAAGUAUAGUUUUAACUUCAUGAGCACGGAUAUGCUUUCAGCAAGAAUAAAUGUGGACAUGUACCUAUUAGGUAAAACAUUACUGGCUUUUCAAUUUUUACACUUCCACUCAUUAAAUGACCAUCUAAUAAUAAUACAUAUUUAUGUUUCAUAGAUGUUAUAGGUAUCUCAGCUCACAUUGGACCGAUAGAAGAAACAAGGACAAACUUCGGAUUUACUAAAAUCCGUGAUAUUGUGCUCCUGAUCGAGUAAUUCUCUUUUCUUUUGUAGAAAACAACUACAAAACUUUCAACAUUUACAUGUAUGUUAUAGAACUUCUGUUGAACUAAAAAAUAUCUUCUACAGUGCCCCUACAAAUAAUUAAUUUCGUAGUUGGAUAUUUAAAAUAUUUAUUAUUCACUUUUAAAUUUGUGGCCAUGAAGUUAAAGUUAGAUUUUGGGGAGACAAAGUUGAGGAAGUUGAUGAUAAGACAAAAUCCCAUGUCAUUGCAAUAACAUCUACAACUGUGAGUAAAUUUGGCAGUAAGUCUUCAUUCAAUAUGAGUUAUUCAAUAUUAGUCAUUCAACAAACUAACCUCGUAAGAAAAAUAAAUAAUUGAUGUUUUAUCAGGGUAUUCUCUAUCGUCAACCAAUGCAACAAAACUUUAUGUAGAUCUACCUAUUCCUGAAACUAAGGAUGCACAUGAUAGGUGAGAAAAAUUAGAUAUUGUUUUUCUAUUUUAAUCUAUGUAGCAUGCACUCUAACAUGAUACAUUCUUUCAUAUGAUAAAAAAAUGUUAGUUCAAUUGAAAAUAUUGUCAAAGAGAUUCAUAUUGAGGACCAUCUAAAAGGGACAUUGGAAGACCAAAUGCAGUACAAUAGAAGAACUUUAGAAGAAUUAAAUUUCAUAUUAUUUGAAACAUCAAAUCAGGUAUGGAUUAGUAUGUUCAUUGUACACUAUACUAUUUAAAGACUUACAUACAUAAUGAUGGUAUUGUUCCUACUUUCAGGAUGAGGUAUUUACUAUUGAAGCAACAAUAAAUGAAAUUAAUGCAACAUAUGGUUGGUUGUCACACCCGAUUUUAAGGACAAAAUUGAGUGCAUUAAAUACAUGUGCACCAGGAUCAAGUUACACACAUCCUAUGAGUACCGUCCUUCUUUGGCACAAAGAUAACCGGUGCUCCCCAUGGUGAUGAACUAGGCCGAAUAAACUAUUUUGCUGAUAAUUCCUCUAGUUGUUGUUUCAAUUCUUUUAAUUGUUCAACCAACAUUCUAUAAGGACGUUUGGAGAUAGGUGCAGUACCAGGUAAAAGAUCAAUAGCAAAUUCAAUGUCGCGGUCAGGUGGCAUACCUGGUAAAUCGUCGGGGAACACAUCCGGAUAGUCACACACCACUUUGAUAUCUUCCAAGGAUUUUCCAGCCAACUGAUUAACUGCACAAUCUGCUGCUGAGGGUAGAGUAGCUACAAACUCCACUUUCUCUCCAUCAGGACCUGUUAGCAGAACUGUCCUCUUGGCACACUGAAUCGUUGCAUCAAAAGCGGCUAACCACCUCAUCCCCAGAAUUACAUCGAUUCCACUGGACUCAAGGACGAUAAGAUCAGCCGGAAACUCUAUACCCAUUAUUCUCAGUUUAACUUGUGGACAGAUGUAUUGAGCCUUCAUUGACCCCCCAGGUGAACUCACUAGCAUAUGACGCCUCAUGGUAUGCAUGGGUAAAUUAUGCUUUGCUACAUAAUGACUAGUGACAAAAGAAUGCGAUGCUCCAGAGUCAAAUAAAACUGAUGCGGGGGCAGAGUUGACAAAGAACAUACCAAGCACUACAUCUGGAGCCUCCUUAGCAGUCUCGGCUUCCAUGUGGUUCACCUUGCCACAAACAAAGCUUUGCUGCCCCUGAUUGCCUUGUGGGGUCUGGUUCCCAUUCCUCGGUUGCUGCAUCUGAUUCUGCCGAGGAGCACUGCUGUUCUGCACGGGGGUAGCUGGCCCACCUCUCUUAGGACAAGAGCUGGCAUAGUGACCAACCUCGCCACACUUGAAGCAGGUAGGACCCACUGGAGCAUUGGGCCUUGUUGGAGUGCCAGUAGGGGUCAUCUGGCGGUUCUGCGUAAAGCUUGGGCGCGGAGUCUGCAUAGUCUGCAUCCCUGGAUGCUGGAACUGAGGGCUAGGGCGCUGGAAUGACUGCUGAGCAGGGCGCGGAAAUGAGUGCUGCCAAAAAUUCCCACUCGGGCCCCCUGCGCGGAACGGCGUCCCUUGCUGUGGAGCAAAGCGAGGGCGGGUGUUGCUUCCUGAAGACUACUGGGAAUUGAAUUUCCUCUUCAUCUCCCCGAGCUCGUUCCUCUUGUGUUCCAGGCCAAUUGCCUUGUCUAGCAUCUUCUGGAAACUGGGGAAGGUGUGCGACAUAAGCUGAUAUUGGAGUGGUCCAAUCAACCCAUCCAAGAAUAGCUCCUGCUUCUGCUCAUCAUCAGCAACAUCUUCGGGAGCAUAUCGGGACAACUGGACAAACUUGUCCCUGUACUCUGCCACUGUCAUGUUCCCCUGCUUGAGAGCAAGGAACUCCUUCUUCUUAAGCUUCAUCAAUCCGGAAGGAAUAUGAUGACUUCUGAAGCUAGUCCUGAAUUCAUCCCAGGUGAUGCCAUUAGCAUUGGCAUGGGUGGUGGUGUAAGCAUCCCACCAAUCAGCAGCUGGCCCUUCCAGGCGUCCUGAAGCAUACAGGACCUUCUCCCUGUCAGUACAUUGGGCGAUAUCCAGCAUCUUCUCCACUGUUUUCAGCCAAUCAUCAGCAUCUAAUGGAUCCGGAGAAUGUGAAAACGUCGGGGGCUUGUGGCUCAUGAACUCCCUAUGCCUGUCCCUUGGCGGCGGCUGCUGCUGGUUGUUGUUGUUGUUAUUGUUCAGCUGAGCUUGUAAAGCUGCCACGGUGUUGGUCAGUCCGGCGAGAAGCUGAGUCUGAGCUGCUAGAAACUGCUCCAUCCCUGCAGGUGCUUGUUGGUUCUGUUGCGGAGCGGUGUUGGGAUUGCUGCUGUUGUCCCUGUGGCGUGGCACUGUGGGACGGUCAACUCCUGAUCCGGACCUGGUGUUUACCAUCUGAGCGUUAGAGACAAUGGAUUUAGAUAGAUGUGUGAAAGAAUAACUGAGAAAGAUAAAGCGACCAGAUGUAAAAGUAACACAGAUUCUGUUAGCUCCAUUUAAUUAGGUGUGGUCGUCAGAAGAAGUGUCCAUAAAUUCUGAACAAUUACCAAGUCGUAACUUAUUAAAUUUGUAAACCAACCCAACUGGAAUCAUCUCAAUCGGACUUCUGGAUCUCGAGUUACAAAAUUAACAAGCUGACAGUGUCGGUCGAUAGGUUCAGAUUCUGAGUGCUUUACUAAUUCGCAUACACCUCCCAGACAGAUACACCAAAAAUUCUGAAAAAUUUACAGAUAGUACUCCACGAAAUUCUGAAACUAACCCCACUGGUUUCAUGUCAUUUGGACUUCUGUAGCUAGAGAUAUAAAUAAAAAAGUACUGGCGUGUCAGUUAAUGUCGAGAACAGAAUUGAAUGUCGCUUAGCUUGCGUGAUGGAUAGAUUUAGACAGAUGGUAGAUCAUGAUUAAGGAAGAUUAAAUACUGAUUUAGAACAGAAAUAAAACCCAACUAAGCACUUUAUUUAUUAAGACCAGUAUCGUGUGGCAAUUGCCCCACAUACCGCACUCAUUACAAAAUCCAACUCAAACAUGUAGCACAAAACCAAUCAUCUAAGCACACUUUAACUAACACACUCGAACGACGUCUAACGAUUACAAGAAUUUAAACUAAAACACUCCUAAUUUCCUAGAGGUCUUCUGCGGCGGUGCCGGGCGAGUCGUAGCGGGGACGCUUAGGCGACGGCGACGAAGCGGGAUGAACAGCAAACUCCUGCGGCGGCGGUGCUCCCGUCGCGGCAGCCAUAUUCGCAUCCCUCUCCCACCGGAGUUCCUGAACCUCCUGUUGAAGCUCCUGGAUGUGGUUGUUUGCUUCAUUCAAUGCGGUGAGAGCUGCCGACGUGUACUUGCGGAGGAAGUCUGUAGCCAUGUCAACCCCAUCGUUAGUAGCGAUGAAGGUUCUUGCUUCCCCACUAGCUCGGUAAGGAAGGAACCGAUGGUAAGUGUGCUGCAAUCGCGGCCGUUCCUUGUGGGAGACGACCUCAAGUGCCCUCCUGGCGGCCUCGGCAAUGCCGGAUUCCAUGGUCCUCCUUAUGGUCACAUCAUGGUGAAAAGCCUUCACCUCCCAUCCUCCCUCGUGCUCCUCACGAAGGACAACCUUCACCUCCCAAAAAGUGGGAUAGCGAGGGUGGGUGAACCGGGAGCACUUGUAGAGUGGCCUCAUGCCGUACCCCAAGCGGUGACAAGUCCACCUGAGUAUGUCGGCCAUGUGCACUCCUUGGCCAUAAUCUUCCUUCACCCAUUUGAUCCAUGUCUCGGGCUCGGGAUCUGCUUCGGGCUCAUCAUCCGUCAAGUCGACGACCGGUACGGGCGUCGGGGCUGGUGCAGGAGCGGGCGCCGGUGCUGGCGACGGUGCUGGUGACGGCGUGGUCUCCUGCUCCACGGUCACGGCGUCCCCGUCAGAGUCAUCCCCCGGAUGCUGGAAGAUCUCUUCCUCUUCUUCCUCGUCCCAAGGCUCCAUGGGGGCGUACGACGGCGCGAUGCCAUGACGCGGCGGACGGGUGCUCUUGCGUGCGGUCAACCGGGUGCGAGCCAUCUAACAGAAAGAAAGAAGAAAAUUUUAGAAUAAAAUUUUGAACAAAGCUAGAUAAUAAAAUAGCAAUAAGGAUGAGACAAAUCAAGUUUAAGAAUAAUUAAGUAGAUUUAAAUUAAGAAAGGUAGGAAUGGCUACUAGAUUAUUAUAAUCCUUAAAUACGACCAUUUUCUAACUAGGCUAACGUCCUACAGUCAACACGGCUCUGGUACCACUUUUGUCACACCCGAUUUUAAGGACAAAAUCGAGUGCAUUAAAUACAUGUGCGCCAGGAUCAAGUUACACACAUGUACGACAAUAGUGAAUAGUAAAGCCAGUGCUAAAUCGAAUAAAGAGAGUAUUAACCAUUAUUACAUGACCGAAUGUCUCAAAUAAACCACAAAGUCUAAUUAUUACGCAGCGGAACUCCAAAGAUGACGACGACUCCAUAGGCAGCUGACUGAAGAAACGUACGCCUAGAACUCCUCGAAGUCGUGGAAGUACUCCUCUUCCCAAUUAACUUGGUCUGAACAGCGGUUUUGCAAGGGUGAGUACACUUAUGGUUGGUACUCAACAAGUCGUGGGAAGUAGUGUAGUGUAAGGCUAAUUCAAGGUAUGGCUAAGGCGUAAAUAGCAUUCGCUUUUAAUUAAGUUGGUCAAAUUUUAUUAGCAUUUACUAAGUAUAAGUUCAUACCACCCGAAAUUAAACAUGAACAUAAAGUAAACCACAUGUGCAUGAAAUGAUAACAAAUUAAAUCCAUCUUCCGAUAAUAUUAUCAUGUGAGGGUCCAGGCCGCUCUUAACCGUGAGCACGGCUGAUUGAUCAGUUUAACACUCUGCAGAGGUGGCACAUCUUUACCCACAAGUCGCGUAAAAGUUCAAAAGAACUUUGGACCCAACCAUGCGGUGUUUGCAAGGCACCAUACCACACUUCCGAGGUGUGAUUGCAUAGGGACGCUACGAGGCCUUUACAAAGAUUCAUUAAUCAGUGGUAACCCGCUAAGGUUUCGGUGUCUGGCGUGCACCACCCAUCCCAGGUAAAAUGCAACGACUCAGUCCCCCCCCUUGAAUCAUCACGAGUAAGGUCACCCCAGACUAAGGUUUCUAAUUAAUCAGCCAAGACCAGAGCUAUUUAGUCUUGUGGUAGCACUGUUUUCCUGGGUGGUCGCUCCAUGUUCUGAUUAACAAAUAAUGAUCUUGUCUUAAUGAAAGGUAUAACAGAAAUAAGGCAAGAUUAAGCAUUGUUUUUAGUUAAACCACCAUGUACCAAGUAAGCACUAAGCAUGAGCUACCCAACAUAAAGUAAACCGGUUGGUCAAGGCAAAGGUAAAACAAUCUAGGCCAACCUUAAUUGGGACCCAUCAAUUUAAUCUUAAUAUGUGCACAGCAUAAAUGUUGAGUACGAGAAAGUAAAGGUGUAUAGGACAAAAAGGUAGUGAUCAAGGACACGACUUGCCUUCUUGGCCUUGCUCCUGCUGUUCGUACUCCUCGAAGGCUUGAUCGGCAACUCCCUCGAACUGCGGGGCGUCUACACGCAUCACACGAGCACAUACAAGCAAACAUGGGCAAAAGUAAGAAAACAGUAUACCAAACAUAGUCAAACAGAGAAAACAAGCUUGAAAAGAUGAUCUACGCUUUAAAACGAACACGCGGAUAUAAAGAACGCGAAAAACGGAGUUAAGAUGCAAAAGAUAUGAUUAAAACAAAAUCCAGGGACUUUUCUGUAAGAAAAACAAAACUUUUAGGGCCUAUCCGCGAAAACCGAGGGCUUAUACGUAAUUAUGCGUAUAAACCGAGGGUCUGAUGCGUAAAAACAUCAAACCCGGACGGCGGGUUGAUUUCUGGAAAGGUCAAGGGUUAAACCGAAAAAUGCGAGGGCAGAUCUGUAAAUACUUUCAACGCGAUCUGGACCGCGGGUUGAUUUGCGAAAAAGGCGGGGGCUAAAGUGCAAAAACUGCACGGCGCGGCUCGGUUGACCGGUACGCGAUCUUGAUUGACUCGCGUCCGGCCGUCGGAUUAAGAUCCGACGGUCGCGGUGAUCCGCGACAUCGCGGCGGCGGCGGCGAGCGGCGGCGAGCGGCGGCAAGCGGCGGCGGGUCGCCGGAGUUAGGCAAAAUAGCGCCACGAGGCACGGUUUAACGCGCGGGUUGCACCAAAAAAGAGAGGGGAACACGUCGAUCCCGUUUUGGGGGUUCUUGUCGACGGGGGCUCACCGGCGACGGCGAACGGCGGCGAGGAAGAGGCGGCGGCGCUAGGAGCUCGGGCGGCUAGGGUUUCGGGGAGCUGCGGCGCUGGUUUUGGGCGGAGGAGACUGGGAGGAGGCGGCGGCUUUUAUAGGGCUUGGAGAUAGAGCCGGCGCGGGUUCAAAUCCCCCGGAGGAGUCGGAGCGGAUGGAGUCCGGGGCGGAGACGGCGCGCGGCGGUUGCGGAGUUCUGACCGGAUUCGGCCGGAGGUGGGAGACGAUGGGUGGGGUCCACCCGUCAGUGGCGGAGGGGAGCGGUAGACGGGCCGGCGCGACCGUGGGCUGGCGCGCGCUCGUGGGCUGCGGGGAGCGGGAGAGAAGCGGCGAGCGGGCGCUGGCGGAGCAGGCCGAGCGGAGGUAGAGCUGGGCCGCGGAGAAAAAGGAGGAGGCCGGCGGGCUGCUUCGCAGGCCGGUAAGGAUGAGGCGGCCGGGCCGAAGAAGAAAAAGAAAAGGAGGGACAAGGAGCUUUCGGCCGAGGGAAAAGAAGAAGAAAAAGAAAAGGAAGAAGAAAAGGGAAAAGGUUUUGGAAUUUGAAUUUAAAUCUGAAAUUCAAAAUUUGAUUCAAACUCAAGCAACCAAAAAUUAUGCUCCAGCAUGAAUGCACAAAUAAUUCCUAUGAUGAAUUAAUUGAAUUAAAGAAAAUGAAUUUAAAUGCCUAGAAAUUAAAUAACACCCUAAUUUGAGCAAAUUUUAAUGAAUUUGAAUUAUUGAAAUUUUGGGUGUUACAUUGGUACUACAUCUCAUGUAGUAGAGGCGAUUGUAAGAAGCAACUUGAAAAGAAGUUUGAUCACUACUAUUGCAAUAAAUGUGACAAGAGAGCCGAACCUAAAGCCCAGUAAAUUAUUUAGUAGUUUACAAUCUUAUUAUAAUACUUCUAUUUCUAAUAGGAGAAUAAUAUUUUCAGAUUCAAAUUAAGCUUCAAAUAAGUGAUCCAACAACAAGUGCAACUUGUGUACUUUUGACAAGGAAGCAGAAAUGAUAAUUAAUGAAUGAGCAGAUUCGAUGAUCACCUCAGUUGAUCAUGAUAAUAAGUAGCUACCAAAAUCAAUUCAGGAAAUAUGUGAAGAAACAUUGAUUUCUCAAUUCAGAUUGACCGAGUACAACUUGACAAGUUUUAGACCUGAUUAUACUGUUUCAAAGAUAUUUUUUCCAAAAGAAAAGGGCAGUUCAAGAAUUGGUAUGGAAAGUGUAAAAAAGGUAACACUUUAUUAUUAAUUUUUUAUUGCACUUUUUUCUUUUGAAUCCGUAAUACUUAAUAAUUUUACUAUAUCAAUGAAACAAAUUCUAACCUAAAUUUAUUUUCUUUUUUAUUAUUUGUAGGAAGUAGAAGACAACUCAGACAAAUGCUACACGAUAACUACCGAGAAUGAAGAGGUAGACACUGAUGACUCUUUUACCGAGAAAGUAACAUUCGUAGAAGAAGCCAUAAGGACUGGGGAAAGAUUGGCUAGAAAAGUAUACUCACUUCCAUGUCAGUGUUCAUUCUAUUUACAAUACAUGCAAAAAAAAUAUUAUUCAUGCAAAAUUGCAGGUCUACUAAGCAUUAAAGGAAUAGCGGAUAGUGCAAUAUGUAAUCUGAGCAGCAUGCAUUACAAAGUGCUCUACUGCAAUUAAAUUAAAAAACAUGAUAUAUGUUGAAUUCUUAGACUUUAUUAUUAUACUUUUCUACGUGACAAUUCACAAUUUUUUAGAAAAAAGAAGAUCCCAGAAGAAGUGACCAUGAAAAAAGGUCUAUGACCAGCAAUAAGAAAAAAUGCAAGCAUAGAAACAAAUCCGUAGAAAACAUAGAAAAUAAGGUACUCCAUAAACAAAAGUAUUCUCUUAUAUUUUUAUUAAAUAUUUUUUUAACACUUGACAAGUUCUUUUUUAGGAUCAAUAUAUCAGCAAUUCAGAUGUCAUUGGAGAUGAAACCUUAGUUCAUCCAAAAGGUCAAAAAAAAACAUCUGAAGAAAGGUGUUUGGCUGAAAAGGAAAAGCAAAAAAGUGGUAAUGCAGACAAACACAUGCAGAAAAAUAUAAAAACAUGUCAUAGGGAGGCAGACCAAUCUUGCAAGGAGGUAUAGACGAAACGUGAUACACGACCUGCCUACCUUGUCGUGGAUACCCCAAGAAGAUGUCAUAGAGGUGCAGACCAAGCUAGCAAGGAGGUCGAAACGUGAUACACGGCCUGCCUACCUUGCCGUGGAUAUUAGCCCUGAGAUCAUUCUACUGUUCAAGGAAUAACACUCAAUGCUGCUGCUGCUGCUGACCUGGCUCCAUAAAGUUAUACUCCUCUAGGUGCUUGCACUAACUUUAUCUGAAGUAUUAUUCUCUCUGCACUGUAUAUAUGGUUAUGGAGUUUGCUGGAGUAUCCGGGGCGAAGAACCUACAUAAUACGUCUUGGAACUAAUUGACAUUGAUUCACAGACAAACUCUACAAGGUGCUGUUCUUGCCAUUUUAGAGCAUCCAAAGGACUAUAAAUAACAUAGUUUACCAUAUACCAUAUACCAUAUACCAUAAUAUGUUAGCUAAAAUAAGAGCAUACACAUGUUGCAGGAGUCCAAAAGCACCGGUUGAGGACCAGGUACAUUGAAUUACUAGAAAAAGACAGGGGACAAGGUUUAGGUAACCACAUGAAACAUUUGAAUUUAUUGUACUAUGAACACUUAGUUACCAUGCCAGGAGCACAUAGUUAACACUAACAUUUAGCCACUUUAGAUCAUCCCGAAUCACCAAUGACCCUCAAUAGUGACAAAUUUUGGUUUAAAUGCCAUCACCAAUGAUCCUCAAUAGUGACGUAUUUAGGUUUAAAUCCCGUCACUAAUAACCCUCAAUAGUGACCUGUUUUGGUUUAAAUCUCAUUACCACUGAUCCUCAAUAGUGAUGUGUUUUAGCAAAACAUGUUAUCAAUGACUUGUCAUUGGUGACGUGUUAAAACGCGUUAUCUCAAUGGCAAAUCAUUGGUGACGUGUUAUCUCAAUGUUAUCAAUGUUCUAUUCUUUUCAACAAUACCAGCUCGUUCCUCCGUUUUUAUUCCACCAAUACAAGCACCACCUUGUAACAUUUCCUAUGUUUUUUUUCCUUUUGUCUGUUUUCUCACUACAUGCGUUGCUCUUUCAUGCAUUUUUUUCCAUUCCUGUAUUCCAAAUAGGUCUACAUGAACACAAAAUGAACUAGGGGACAGAAAAAGCCAGUGAAGCCAAUUUUGAGCUUCACCAGCUACUUGCUACAUAAAGUGUGCUAUAGUGACGUGUUUUAGCAAAACAUGUUAUCAAUGACUUGUCAUUGGUGACGUGUUAAAACGCGUUAUCUCACUGGCAAAUCAUUGGUGACGUGUUUUAAAAAAACAUGUCACCGUGAGAGUCAUUGGUGAAGGGUAAUUAAAAUGCGUCACUAAUGUUGUAGCAUUAGUUAUGAUAAUUUAGUAACGCAAAAAUCUACCAUCAGUAUUGAGCUUUAGAGCCAUCGCUAAUGUGGGUUUCUUACAUAGUGAUGCAAGCUCUACAAGGUGCUGUUGCUGCCAUUUUAAAGCAUCCCAUGACUACAUGUUAAUAACAUAGUUUACCAUAUAUCAUAAAAAUAUUAGUUACAAUAAGCACAUACGCAUGUGGAAGAGUCCGAAUGCACCGGUUGAGGACUAAACACAUUGAAUUACUAGAACCAAAUGUAUGUUUAGAACAAAGACAGGGGUCAAGGUUUGGGUAACCGCAUUAAAAACAUUGGAUUUUACUGUACAUGAACACUUAGUUACCAUUACCAUGCCUUGAGCACCUAGUUACAACAAACAUUAAUUUAGCCACUUUAGAGCUUCCAGAAUCGCUAUAAAUAAUAUACCUACGCCGUACCAUGAAAACAUCAAGAAGAGAGACGGAUACAUGGACCACCAUCAAGCGAGUAGUGACAGCACGCACAAGAAUACCCGGAACCUGUUAGCUUGUCUGUAGUGAUCUGUUUUCUUCCCCAUAAAAUCCAUGAGUAUUGCCACAAAUAAUGAAAGAGGCUGACCAAGCUAGCAAGGAGGUAGAGCAAACGUGAUACACGGCCUGCCAAGAUUGCCCUGGAUACGCCAAUAAGAGCGACAGAUACAUGGAUCACACCAAUAUGGUGAAACGUAUAUUCAUCACACAAGCAAAGCUGGUCAGUUUAUCCAUGGUCAAAUUGUGGUCUUUGUUUUCACUUGAGAGCUAAUUGAGGCACUAUAAUAUGGGCAGGCCUAUCUUCAACAGACAUGACAGCUACAGGGAACUUGACAUAAUUUGCUGGGCCGCCUGUGCACAAUUAUUUGUUUUAUUGUCCUUGCAUAGAAUGCUAAAAUACUCUUUACAAAAUGUUGGAUCUAAUAUUUGAAAUAUAGAGUAGUAAUCAUAUAUUGAUCAACAACUUGAAAUUAUCUGUACAUUCUCGGUGAAGCUGUUGAACUAAUUUUUGCAAAUUAUUAAUUCAUCUCAUUACGUAAAGAAAAAAGUAAGUGGAUAAGAUAUUUCGUGGACCACAUCACUGCAAACAUGUCAUGGAGAGACAGACCAAGGAGGCAGGACGUGAUACACGACUUACCCUAGGUUGCCGUGGAACCGCCAAGAAGAGAUACAGAUACAUGGACCACACCAUCUUGGGAGUAGUGACAGCAUAUAUGCAGAAGAAUACCCCGUGCCUAUUUGCAUGCAUGUCUCAAGUGAUCUGUUUUCUUCAGAAAAUACAUGAGCAUUGCCAGAAAGAAUGGCAAGAGACAAACAUGUCAUAGAGACUUGCAUGUCUUGCCUUGGAUACGCCAAGAAGAGGGACACAUACAUGGAUAACACAAAUCUAGUGACACGUAUAUUCAUCACAAAGGCAAAUCUGAUAAUUUUAUCCAUGGAGCAGACCAAGGAGAAAUUGAUGACGGACAUGUGAUCUCUGUAUUCAGUUGAAAGCUAAUUGAGCUACACUAAUAUGAGCAGGACUAUAUUCAAGAGACUUGUUGAGAGCUACAGGGAACUUGUAAUAAUUUGCUGGGCGGCCUGCGCACAAUGAUUUGUUAUACAUAGUUGAAAUAUUUCAAGAAUUUAUCAACCUCAUACUCUGAAACCCUUGGUGCAAUGUACUCUGCUUUCCGAGGUAGACUGUUCACGUAAAAUGAGGUCAUGCGUAAGACGGAAUCGGAUUGGAUUCACAGGGAAUCAGAUUUGGAUAGCACCUUUUAGCAGGUUUUUAGUCAAAUGCAAAUUCGGAUCCACAUGUGGUUGAAUGCGAGUUCAAAAUUCUACUUGGAUAUCCAUUUAAUUUAGGUGAUAGCAAUUAGCACAAAAUGUUGGAUGAACAAAAUCAUAGUUAGACAUACAAUUACAUGUAUGGUUAAAGUAUAAUACAAUACACCAAGAUUAUUCCUUGAAAAUAUUUCUUAAAAAUAUUAUAAUAAAUGAAUAAAUAUAAUUGUGGCCACCAACAAAUAGUCGGUGGUCGCUAAGUUGGAGCCAUUUCUGGUUACUAAUGCGGCCUUCUCCUCGACCAGCGACGACAGCUGAGCUUGUUCCUUCUGACACUAAAUCAUCAGAGUCUUCCCUCCACUACUAUAGAAUGCACCUUUAGCACCAAUUGGGAAAUCCCCUUCAGUAUUGGAUGCUGCAACCAGUGCUAUAUAUCAAAAUGGAGACUAAAAGCCUCGGUCUUGGGUACCGGUUGCAUAACGCAUUACUAAAGGAGGCAAAAGAGAAAUGUAACAAAAAAAAUAUUUUGAAUUCCAAGAAUGUUUCACUAUUCAAGAUGACUAGCUGAGAGUCAACAGACAAGAUACUAGGAAUGUGGGUGCUUGAAUGCAUUUGUACAGAGGUCAUACUAUUUACAAACUCUUCUAUGUUUCCAUAUGACUACCUACUUCAAUGUCACGCGAGCCAUUCAGCUGGACACAUGGCACACUAGCUUGCAUGUCGAAUCCAUGAUUAAUUAUUUGCACUUGUGAUCUCUUACCAGUAUUUGUCCAGACUAGAAACGUGCAACACAUUUUUAGGAUAUGGACACGCAUAUAUUUGGACUAGUAUACAGGUCACCUUUGGAUGCGUACAAGGAUGACCGGGAGGGACUAAUGGAUACAAGGAAGGGACCAUCAGGAUUAAUAUUGACAUAUGCCACAUGACAAUCUUCAUUGUCAUGCAAUCCCUAUCAACAAUCAUGGAAUCCCUAGUGUACUAAUCCCUGGAGGGUUGUGUGGAAAUUUAUUUUACCUUGCGGUGAAAAUCUCAUGAGCAGUCAUUAGUUAAGCUGACUAGCUGAGAUAUAAUAGACAAGCUAGUAAGAUUGGGAGCAUCAAUGCAUCCAUACAGGGUCACAAUAUCCUUUCCAUUCACUUUUAUAUAUAACCCUACGAAUACAAGUCCAACGAAAUGCGGGCCUUUCGAUCAAGAUAAAUUAAAUGGCCCACUUGUAUUUCUAAUCCAGGAUUAACUAUGCCCUCUGUUCAUCUCUUGCAAGCACGUGCAACACAUUUUCACGAUAUGGACAUGCAUGGAGGUUAUUAUACUGUUUGGACAAACUCUGAUGUGCCAUGACCUAAAUGCUUAGGGCCUGUUUGGUUUGAGUUGCUUAUUAUAAGCAACUUAAAGUUGCUUAAAGUUGCUUAUUUGAAGUUGCUUAUUUUUAGUCUAAACUGUUUGGAUACCCUUGCUUAUGAGCAUUGAAUGAGUUGGACAUUGUCAAAUUUGCCCCAUGUGUUGCUACCCCUCCAAUUUGCCUCCCCACCCUUCUUCUUCCUGCACACGUCCGAUCCCGGGGGCCGACGGCGGGCAGGGAGCAGCAGCAGCUGGCCAGGGCGGCGGUGGGGCGGGAGCGGCGGCGCACACCAGCACGCGCUCGCACGCCAGGUGCUAGGGCGCGGCGAGGCAGUCGUCGUAGCCCACCGGGAGCGGGUGCUCGGGCGCGAGGCGGUACUCGACGGAGAUGCCGAGCGUCGGGCGCGCGGCGGCGAGCGCGUUGAGGAAGCGAUGGUAGUGCGGCGACGUCGCGGACUCCGCCACGAAGCCGCCGCCGUGGACGUACACCACCACGGGCAGCUUCGUCUUGCCGUCGGCGGCCGCGGCCGCGGCCUGGGGUGGCAGGUAGAGGCGGACGGAGCAGGAGCCGAGGUCGACGUCCCUGGAGUCGACGCCCGUGGCGGCGUCCAGGCUGGGCCCGACCGGCGGCGGCACGAGCGGGCGCUCGAUGCGGCCGCUCUUGUAAAUCCGACGGGUCUGUGCGGAGGCGGGCGGCGGGCGGGAGCGGCGGGUGGGAGCGGCGGCAGGUGGUGCGGAGGCCGGCGGCGGCGGGUGGCGCGGAGGAAGGGGAGCUGGUGAGUGGUGACAGGGGAGGGGGGGAGAGAGAGGGGGGGUAGGGUGCAUUGAAUGAGGGCAGGAGGUGUAAAGUGCACCUUUUAGUCCCCAUGAGCAACCAUAAGCAGCCCAAGAGUUGCUUAUUUGCUUAUAAUAAGCAACCUCAUAAGCAAGAGUGAUUGGUUUCAUAAGCAACUUAUUUGCUUAUUUUAAGUUGCUUAUGCAUAAGCAUGUGAAACCAAGCAGGUCCUUAACCUAUGGUUGUGGCACCACACAGUACAUAGUAUUUAAUAAUGCUAUUCGUUUGGUAUGUGCACAAGGGCACGCAUGAAAUGUCUGGCCCACGGUAAACAAGUACGGACGCUGCAAAUAAUCUACUCUGCUCGUCCAGUCCCUAGCCUAUAAAUAGAUGCCAUGCUAGCUCUUGUUGUGCUCACAAUUAAUCCUGACUACACACGAGCUUCUCUCCCUGGCCAAGACACAAUCAUAGUAUGAUGAAGAACAUGGCACUAGCCGGCAAUGGUAUGAAGAACUUAAUCCUCGCUGUUCUCUUACUGUGUCUAGUUAUAGGGCAGAUACAAGUGGAAGCUAAGAGCUGCUGCCCAUCCAUUACUGCAAGAAAUAUCUACAAUGCCUGCCGUAUCACGGGUACAUCCCGUCCAACGUGUGCAAAACUGUCAGGCUGCAAAAUUAUCAGCGGGGACAAAUGCAAGCCCCCUAACGACCACCUCACCCUUGACCCGGACACUGGUAAAUAAUAAAUUUAUCUCACUUGAUUUCUUCGUGUUUUGAGUCGUUAAUGUAUUUUCCAUCUGAUGAAACGUAUUGGUUUUGCAUUGAAGAGGAAGUUAAUGUGCUUAACUUCUGCAAGUUGGGGUGUGCGUCGUCUGUGUGCAACAACAUCAACGCUGGUAAGCACCUUUUGCUCAGACGGAGAAAACAAUAAUCAUUAAUUAGCGGCAGCUAGAAUCCUAUAAUCUAAUAUAUUUAUAUAUAUAUAUAAUUUUAUCAGCUCUGGGAAAUGAAGAGGCGAACGAUGCCGUUGAGAGUUGCGACCAAGCCUGCUCUAGCUUCUGCAACGUGCACGUUGGCGCUGCCACCGUGGUUGCUUAAGCAAAUGCAUCCAACUGGAUCGUCCUUGUGCUAAAUAAUUGGAUAUCGUAUCCACUUAAAGCUGCCUUGUGUAGUACGUUUUUGUUUGUGUCUCUCUUUAUAUUCCAAUAAGGUCGGUGAUCUUGAUGCCACACACUCAGACGUGUGUUCAUCUCCAGAUACUACUCCAUGCUACCUGCCCUUUGUGUUUUGUUCAAUAACUGGGUAUCAUAUCCCAGCCAGUGUGCCAUCUGUUUUGUGUUUAUUUCCUUCUAGUUUCAAAGGGGUUAUCAUGAUGUUACCUUCUUUCGAUAUGGUGCUUUGCAUGACUACUGUUGUAUGGUACCAUCUUGUUGGCCAAUAAAUACAUCUUAUCCUAUGACCCUUUGCUAUGACCCUUUGCAAAUAAGUACAAGAUUGUUAAAUACUCGGUAUAAAUUGACUACUGCUGUGAGUUCCCUUUCAGCUUAUCGUAGGCAUACAUUAUUGCUAGCACGGUGAAGACAACCAACACGAAUGGUCAAGUAAACGUACCGGUACUUUUGUAUACCAACACCCUUGCUUAAAUGUACCGGUGUUACUCCCCACUAGCACAUAUAUUCUUAUAUGCUAGCCGGCUUGAAAAUUAACCGAUUAAAAUAAUUAUUUCAAGACAGAAAUAACUUAUCGGCUUCUCGAAGCAUGUGUAAUGUGAAUUCAAGGACUUGAUGGAAGUUGAAUCGCUUAAUCUAGAUUGCUUUCAGGAUUUUGGGUAACUAAAUUUAACAUUUGCACAUACAAAUGUUAAUGUACAAAUAUUAAAUAUAGUUACCCAAGCAGAAUAUGAAGAUACUCUAUAGUAUAUAUAUACUAUAUAAAUCUAGUUAACAUUUAGUCUAAAUGUUAAAUCUAGUUACCUAAAAUCCUGAAAGCAAAAUGUAUAAAUAUAUAUCUUUUAAGGAAUCCCAAAGCAAGAGUUCAGUGGCAUUCUAUAGUCCCAUGCUGCUAGUUUGAGUUGGUCGAAGCCAACUUAAAUAGGAGAGCUCUCUCACUUCUCUAAAUACGUAACUGAAGGAGAGAAGGGGGCUUGGUUACACAACGCACGCACGCACGCAUAUUUGCGUUCUUUUCGCGUAACCAACCGCGUGACUUGAAACUUGCGACGUAGCGUGCUGCCAAGUCAAGUUGAUAUAACCUUUUUGCCGUAGGCGUGUAAUCUUUUGACAACGGUCAUUGGAGGUGAUAAGCACGCAGUCAAUACCUUAAUCCUGAG
This 61080-nucleotide long non-coding RNA is filed under the name Setaria viridis. Its description in RNAcentral is "long non-coding RNA (SVIR_LNC007217)". Lineage: Eukaryota; Viridiplantae; Streptophyta; Magnoliopsida; Poales; Poaceae. The record is from RNAcentral.